RNAcentral lists this long non-coding RNA (57570 nucleotides) under Triticum aestivum (bread wheat). RNAcentral describes it as "long non-coding RNA (TAES_LNC007817)". The stretch from base 27942 to 28076 matches the Rfam family "MIR1120/MIR1122 microRNA precursor family". The record is from RNAcentral. Lineage: Eukaryota; Viridiplantae; Streptophyta; Magnoliopsida; Poales; Poaceae.
CUCGCCGGUCUUUGUUGUUUCAGGAUCAACAUGUUCUUCGUCAUCGUCAUAAUCGUAGUUCAUGACUUCAUCAAUUCGGUCGUCGCGAUCGAAUAUCAUAUCACCCUCUCUGGUGUUGUUUAGAAAUUCGGAGCCGGCAUAAUCUUCUUCAUUCUGAUCAUCAUCUGGCCCGCGUAUCAUAUCGAACAUGGUCUGUUCUCCCUCUCUGUCGGUAUUGUCUGCCAUAGCUUUUAUUUAACUAAUUCAAAAAAAUAUAUAAAACAAUUUAGUAUUCAAAUUACAUCGUCUCGAAUAAUAGAUAUAAUCUCGAAUACUUCGUCUAGAAUAAUAGAUAUAAUCUCGAAUACAUCGUCUCAAAUAAUAUAUAAUAUUGAAUAGUACAUCACUGGCUAGCUAAUUAAAGAUCGAAUACUACAGAAGAAUCUAGAACACUCGUGGUUCCUGCGGCGCGGGCGGUGGACACCCAAAGAGAAGGAACCCUCACAGGAUCAUAGCUGAAGUGAGAUCCCCGAAGAUACUGCCAGGUAUUGGAGAACCUGCCGCCCUCUAACGCAACCAUGUAGCGAUGGACGUGCUCGUCCUCCUCCCUAACACGGCGACGUACCACCUCCGGCGGGGCCGGGUCCCUCCGCACCGAAACUGGCCCACGCGAACGCCACCAAACGAGAUCAGGAUCGACGACGGGACCCAGGGCCGGGUUCCUCAUCAAGCGGCGCGCCCCUCCAGGCAGCACCUCCUAGUGCCAGCCCGACGGAGCCCAGUCCCGGACAUGGGGCGGCUGGACGUCGUCGUGGACGGGUCGACGGCGAGGAUGCGGGCCGGGCAUCGUCGAGAACAAAUACUAGCUAUAUGCCCGCAAAAAGUAACAUUUUUUUAAUGAUUGGAUUUUAAUAACUAAAAUUUCUAACAUUUCUAUAUAACACUAAUUAUGCUAAUCUAAAUAAUCUAAAUAACACUAAAAUUUCUAACAUUUCUAACAUUUCUAUAUAACACUAAUUUCUAACAUUUCUAUAUAACACUAAUUUCUAACUGAUUAAACACUAAUUAUAUCCAUCUAACAUGCAUUCAUACAUAUAUAAUAGUGAAAAAAUAAUAAUCUAAAUAAUCUAAACUAAUUAAACAUACAAAAUACGUGUGUGUGUACUAAUUAAACACUAAUUAUCUAAACUAAUUAAACAUACAAAAUAAUAAUCUAAAUAAUCUAAACUAAUUAAAGACUAAUUAUCUAAANNNNNNNNNNNNNNNNNNNNNNNNNNNNNNNNNNNNNNNNNNNNNNNNNNNNNNNNNNNNNNNNNNNNNNNNNNNNNNNNNNNNNNNNNNNNNNNNNNNNNNNNNNNNNNNNNNNNNNNNNNNNNNNNNNNNNNNNNNNNNNNNNNNNNNNNNNNNNNNNNNNNNNNNNNNNNNNNNNNNNNNNNNNNNNNNNNNNNNNNNNNNNNNNNNNNNNNNNNNNNNNNNNNNNNNNNNNNNNNNNNNNNNNNNNNNNNNNNNNNNNNNNNNNNNNNNNNNNNNNNNNNNNNNNNNNNNNNNNNNNNNNNNNNNNNNUAUAUAUAGAAGGCACCUUUAGUACCGGUUGGAGCCACCAACCGGUACUAAAGGCCUGUUUUGGCCAGGCCAAGCGGCGGGAAGCGACCCCCUUUAGUACCGGGUGGUGGCACAAACCGGUACUAAAGGCCCCCCCUUUAGUACCGGUUUGUGCCACGACCCGGUACUAAAGGGGGUGCGCUGGCGCAGGUGCGGUGCGGCAAGUUUAGUCCCACCUCGCUAGCCGAGGGGCGACCGCACUGGUUUAUAAACCCCCGUGCGGUCGCUCUCUCGAGCUCCUCUCCAAAGCAGGCUUACUGGGCCUACGUGUUCUUUGCAGCCAUGUGGGCCCACUUGGCCUUUGCGGGCCUGCAUCCUGGCCCAACGACAGGUUGGGUUUCUAGUCGUAUGCAGGCCGCUCUGGCCUAGUAGGCGGGCUUUUUUUAUUUUAUUUUUUGCUUUAUUUAUUUUUGUGUUGUUUUUUUUGUGUAUUUAGAGUUUCUUUGUGAACAUUUUUGUUUUAGGUACAAAAAAUUACAAACUUUCUGUUAGGGCUUUUUUUUAUUUUUUUGUGUUGUUUUUUUUGUGUAUUUAGAGUUUCUUUGUGAACAUUUUUGUUUUAGGUACAAAAAAUUACAAACUUUCUGUUAGUGCCCGUAGUUUUCAAAUUUGAAUAGUUUAAAUUUUGAAUUUUUUGAAAUUAGUGUGAAUCACUGGUUUGUGAAUAACUUAACUUUAAAAAUCAGUAAAGGCAUGAAAGAAUUUGUUUGCACAUAAAAUUUCUUCGCAUUUCAAAUGCCAAAACACAUAACUACCCUAACUAUUACAGAGAUUCCCCUCUCGGUGCGAAACACAGAAGAAAGUGAUGAUAGCUAGUGAAGCCGAUCACAUCCCAGAUCUUUGGUUGUGAAACUUUUUCUUCGCGUGUGUCUCUUUGCGCCGUAACCAUAGAAAAUCGUCAUCAUUUAACGGGAUGCUCGGGUCAAUAUUCACUGUGAAUGGAGCAAUUUCAUUAAACUUUUCAUAAUCUUCUGACUUGUCUGUCUUGUCAUCCACUCCCACGAUGUUUCUCUUCCCAGAAAGAACUAUGUGCCGCUUUGGCUCAUCGUACGAUGCAUUCGCUUCCUUAUCUUUUCUUUUUCUUGGCUUGGUAGACAUGUCCUUCACAUAGAAAACCUGUGCCACAUCAUUGGCUAGGACGAAUGGUUCGUCUGCAUACGCAAGGUUGUUGAGAUCCACUGUUGUCAUUCUGUACUGCGGGUCUUCCGUUACCCCGCCUCGUGUCAUAUUGACCCAUUUGCACCGAAACAAAGGGACCUUUAAACCAUGUCGAUAGUCAAGUUCCCAUAUGUCCUGUAUAUAACCAUAAUAUGUUUCCUUUCCCGUUUUAGUUUCUGCAUCAAAGCGGACACCACUGUUUUGGUUGGUGCUCUUCUUAUCUUGGGCGAUCGUGUAAAAUGUAUUACCAUUUAUCUCAUACCCUUUGAAAGUCAUUAUAUUCGAAGAUGGUAACUGGGACAGCAAGUACAGGUCAUCUUCAAUAGAGGUGUCAUGCAUGGUACGUGUCUGCAACCAGCUGGCGAAACUCCUGGUUUGUUCACGUGUAAUCCAGUCAUCAGACCGCUCCGGGUGUUUGGAGCGUAGCAAAUUCUUGUGUUCAUCCAUAUACGGAGCCAUCAAGGCGGAAUUCUGUAGAACUGUGUAGUGUGCUUCAGUGAGAGAAUGUCCGUCCAUACAUAUUAUUUGUUCCCCUCCUAGCAUGCCUUUUCCAUCCAGUCUGCCCUUAUACCGCGAUUCAGGAACACUAAUCGGCUUAAGGUCAGGAAUAAAGUCAAUACAAAACUCAAUGACAUCCUCAUUUUGAUGGCCCUUGGAGAUGCUUCCUUCUGGCCUAGCAUGGUUAUGAACAUAUUUCUUUAAGACUCCCAUGAACCUCUCAAAGGGGAAUAUAUUGUGUAGAAAUACAGGACCCAAAAUGUUAAUCUCUUGGCACAGGUGAACUAGGACGUGUGUCAUGAUGUUGAAGAAGGAUGGUGAGAACACCAACUCGAAACUGACAAGACAUUGCACCAAAUCAUUCUGUAACCUUGGUAUGAUUUCUGGAUCGAUUACCUUCUGAGAGAUUGCAUUGAGAAAUGCACAUAGCUUCACAAUGGCUAAUCGAACGUUUUCCGGUAGAAGCCCCCUCAAUGCAACCGGAAGCAGUUGCGUCAUAAUCACGUGGCAGUCAUGAGACUUUAGGUUCUGGAACUUUUUCUCUGCCAUGUUUAUUAUUCCUUUUAUAUUCGACGAGAAGCCAGACGGUACCUUAAUACUGAGCAGGCAUUCAAAGAAGAUUUCCUUCUCUUCUUUGGUAAGAGCGUAGCUUGCAUGACCCUGAUGUAUGUCGUCUUCUUCGUGCAUACGUUGCUGGUCCUCCCGUGCCUCAGGUGUAUCUUUUGUCUUCCCAUACACGCCCAAGAAGCCAAGCAGGGUCACGCAAAGAUUCUUCGUCACGUGCAUCACGUCGAUUGCGGAGCGGACCUCUAGGUCUUUCCAAUAUGGCAGGUCCCAAAAUAUAGAUUUCUUCUUCCACAUGGGUGCGCGUCCGUCAGCGUCCUUUGGAACGGAUUGUCCGCCAGGACCCUUUCUAAAUAUCACCUUCAAAUCCUUGACCAUAUCAUGUACAUCAGCACCAGUACGGUGGCGAGGCUUCGUCCGGUGAUCCGCCUCACCUUUGAAAUGCUUGCCUUUCUUUCUUACGGGAUGCCUGCUCGGAAGAAAUCGACGAUGUCCCAGGUACACAUUCUUCUUACAACUAUUCAAAUAUAUACUGUCGGUAUCAUCCAAAUAGUGCGUGCAUCCGUGGUAUCCCUUGUUUGUCUGUCCUGAAAGGUUACUGAGAGCAGGCCAAUCAUUGAUGGUCACGAACAGCAAUGCCUUUAGGUAAAAUUCUUCUUGUUUGUGCUCAUCCCAUGCACGUACAUCUGUUCCAUUCCACAGUUGUAAGAGUUCUUCAACUAAUGGCCUUAGGUACACAUCAAUGUCGUUGCCGGGUUGUUUAGGGCCUUGGAUGAGCACUGGCAUCAUAAUGAACUUCCGCUUCAUGCACAACCAAAGAGGAAGGUUAUACAAAUAUAGAGUCACAGGCCAGGUGCUAUGGUUGCUGCUCUGCUCCCCAAAAGGAUUAAUGCCAUCUGCGCUUAGACCAAACCAUACGCUCCUUGCGUCAUCUGCAAACUCCUUCCCGUAUUUUUUUUGAUUUUUCUCCACUGCGACCCAUCAGCGGGUACUCUCAACUUUCCGUCUUUCUUACGGUCUUAUCUGUGCCAUCGCAUCGCCUUGGCAUGCUCUUUGUUUUGGAACAAACGUUUCAACCGUGGUAUUAUAGGAGAAUACCACAUCACCUUGGCAGGAAUCUUCUUCCUGGGGCGCUCGCCCUCAACAUCACCAUGCUCAUCGCGGCUGAUCUUAUAGCGCAAUGCACCACAUACCGGGCAAGCGUUCAAAUCCUCGUACUCACCGUGGUAGAGGAUGCAAUCAUUAGUGCAUGCAUGUAUCUUCUGCACCUCUAACCCUAGAGGGCAGACAGCCUUCUUUGCUUCGUACGUACUCUCGGACAAUUCGUUGUCCUUUGGAAGCAUAUCCUUUAUCAUUAUCAGCAACUUUCCAAAUCCCUUGUCAGAUACACCAUUCUCUGCCUUCCAUUGCAGCAAUUCCAGUGUGGUGCCCAGCUUUUUCUUGUCACCUACACAAUUCAGGUACAACAAUUUUUAUUGAUCCUCUAACAUGCGCUGCAACUUCUUCUUCUCCAAAUCACUUGCGCAGUUUCUCUUUGCAUCGGCAAUGGCCCGACCUAGAUCAUCAACGGGCUCAUCUGAUGCCUCUUCUUCAGCUUCUUCCCGCAUUGCCGGCUCAGCUUCUUCCCGCAUUACCGGCUCAGCUUCUUCCCCCAUUGUUGUAUCAUCGUAUUCAGGGAACCCAUGGCCAGGAUAGCUGUCGUCGUCCUCUUCUUCUUCAUUGUCUUCCAUCAUAACCCCUCUUUCUCCGUGCUUGGUCCAAACAUUAUAGUGGGGCAUGAAACCGGACUCAAACAGGUGGACGUGAAUGGUUCUUGACGUAGAGUAAUUGCGACCAUUCUUACAGCCAGCACAUGGACAAGGCAUAAAACCAUCCGCCCGCUUGUUUGCCUCAGCCGCAAGCAGAAAAGUAUGCACGCCCUCAACGAACUGGGGAGAGCAUCGAUCAUCGUACAUCCAUUGUCGGCUCAUCUUCAUUACACAACACCAAAUAGACCAAAUUAAUACAAGUUCAUAAAUAAAGUUCAUACAACACUUAAAUGCAACAAACAAAUAACUCUCUAGCUAAAGCAUUUAAAUGCAACAACAAAUGCGAUCAAGAUCGCAACUAAGGUAACAAUUGAUCCAACAGCAUAAUGAUAUCAAGCCUCACUAUCGAUGGCAUAUUUUCUAAUCUUUCUAAUCUUCAAGCGCAUUUUCUCCUUCUUGAUCUUGUGAUCAUCGACGACAUCGGCAACAUGCAACUCCAAUUCCAUCUUCUCCCCCUCAAUUCUUUUCAAUUUUUAUUUCAAGUACUCGUUUUCUCUUUCAACUAAAUUUAACCUCUCGACAAUAGGGUCGGUUGGAAUUUCCGGUUCACAUACCUCCUAGAUAAAAAUAUCUAUGUCAACUUGAUGGGCAUAAUUUUUCAUAAACACGAAAUGCAACAAAUAGUUUUAAAAGAGAAUAUACCAUAUCCGAAUCAUAACAAGGACGAGGGGCGACGGGGACGGAUAUCAAAACCAUGGCACUAUGUAUAACAAAUAACGUACGGGUAAGAUAAUUAUUAUACGAGUAACUAUAUAUCCAAAUCACACAAACAUCAAUUUUUUAUAUAAAAUUUCAUGAACAAGAGGCUCACCACAAGGUGGUGCCGGCGACGGGACGGUGCGGGCGAUCGACGGUGGUUACGACGGAGAUUGAGAAGGCACUAAGUAAACCACACCUACAUAUGCAAACUAAGUGUUAUUUUAACCUCAAAUUGCAUAUAAAUCAAAUACUAGCACAUAUAUAUAUAUCCUCCCAAAUUACUAAACUCACAAAUUAAUAAUUAUAUAAAGCAUUGCAAGAGCUAAUCUAGCAAUGAGAGAUGAAAGGACAAAGUUGCUAACCUUUGUGAUCAUUUGAAUGGAUGGGGGCCUUCAAAUCUUGACAAAUUUUGGGCAAAAUGUGUGAUGAGCUCGAGAGGAAGAGGGGAAGAACAGAGCGAGCUCGGGUGGACGAAGGGUUUAUGUAGGACGACCUUUAGUACCGGUUCAUGCCAAGAACCGGUACUAAAGGUGCUGGAGGGGGCCCAGACUGACAACAUCCUGCCACCACUCUCAUUAGUACCGGUUCGUGGCACGAACCGGUGCUAAAGGUUAGCCACGAACCGGUACUAAUGAGAGCGGCCCGGCUAGCCGUUGGAACCGGCACUAAUAUAUACAUUUGUGCCGGCUCAAAUACAAACCGACACUAAUGUGCUUCACGUUUGACCCUUUUUCUACUAGUGUCUAGACAUCGAAGUUGCGCACAACUUAAUUAUUUUUUAAACAAAAUAAGAAAAAAAAAGAAUAAUAAUACACAGCGAGCAACCACAGCGAACGAAUGAGAGAAGUGGACGGCGAAACAUUUAUAUCAUAUCAUGCCUAUCCACUAGACUCAUUUGAUACCAGCAAGAAGUGCAUCUCCUCACAAGUCACAAAUAUGAUCACAUAUCACCAUAAGGCUCGUUGCCUUGAUAUUGGAAAUUUUGUUGUUCCUUUCUCUUCAAAUGCACGACCAAAAAUAGGAGAAUGCUUUCUCUUGAUUUUCCUUCUAUAUUUGUACAGUGUACAACUCUGUUUAUGAUGUAUUGGGGUUUUUCCUCUCUUAGUGAAUGAAACACAGGAAAGAAGGCAACGCUGCUGCAUUUUGCUUAAUUCACUAGAUCUGUGGGUUGGAUCAAUGCUAGGUCUAGCCGCCAAGUUACUUAACUACACACAUCUUACCUAUCCAUAUUUCUACGUUGAUGAGGUACGUACUAGAACAUAGUAAAAAGGACAUGAAAGGUUGACACAGGGUUAGCAAAAGGAAAGCGUGAGCAGUCCAACCAUGCAAGCCAAUCAACGGGAACAUACGCCGGGCUGGAAUCCAUGCCCUACUGCUACAAUGAAAAUAAUUAGUGAGGGCCGGAGUGAAGGGUAGAAAAGGGCCAUGGUCCUUGUGAAAGAAACGGAUGGGGAGUCAUUUUCGUGUGCACCACUGGUCCUUGCGACAAGAGGAUGCCCGUAGCUAGAGCUGACCCUCCCCACUAACGCUACUCCACUACUGUCUUUGUCAUAUCUAUGUUUGUAUGCAUGUCGGUCUGUACCUACCGGCAACACUGCUCAGCACGCCACACAACAGUACAAUACAUAUCACAUCUAUACAUCUUAGGUAUGGGUGCCCCUACAUAAACGUGUGGUGUGGCGUGAGCAAGGGACAAGGCAACUAACAGAUUUUUCUGUUUGCAACAGGGUGCAACUAAUAGAGUUGAAAUAAUGUUACUGGAUAUGUUGCUGUGCCGAUCCACACACGCACCGACGGCACUGGUUUACAGGGAUUGUUGCACACGCGUCCGGGUCUGAUUGGCUCCUCCACCCUAUAAAACCACACCGUAUGUAUCUUCACUUCUCCACACAGAGCACACCGACCCACCAUCCAUCUAUCCAUCCAUCCAGGCUAGAAGCAGCGGCCAACAAGUGCACCCCUAGCUGCGAGCACAAGGAGCUGGCAGCAAUGGCGAGGCAUCGCCUCCUUGCCGUGCUCAUGCUCCUCGUCGGGGUAGUGGCAGCCUCCACUUUCCACCAAGCGGCCGCCGCUGGCCGGGGCCUUGCUGUCCUCGAGAAGUUUGCGGACCUGGAGCCAAAGCCAAAACCCAAACCAGAGCCAAUGCCCAAACAAAUGCCGAAGCCUGAACCAGAAUCAAAACCAAAGCCCAAGCCGAUGCCAAAACCCGAACCCAAGCCCAAGCCGAUGCCCAAACCUGAACCAAAGCCAGAGCCCAAGCAUAAACCAAUGCCUAAGCCAGAGCCCAAGCCUAAACCAAUGCCUAAGCCGGAACCGAAGCCUAAACCUGAACCAAAACCAAAGCCACCACCAAAGCACAAGCCGCCAACAGCUUACAAUUGAUGGGAUACUAUAUAUGCAAACUGAAGGAUCGAGGAGAUCAUGGCCAGAGCCACAAUCGCGAUAUUUCUAGAAUAAGUGGUGUAGUAACAAUGUCAUUCUAUCCGGCUAGCUCCAUAGUGAUGCAUCUUUCUGUAUUCUAUGUAUUUCGUUACAUUUACAAAGUUUCUGUUUCAUGUACCCAUGAUGAGUAUCACAACCUUGUAAUUGUUAGCUGCUUGUUGGUGUACGUUCAAUUUUGUACGUGACUCAUUGUUCUAUUUGUGUAUCUAUAUGCAUGAUUUUAUUCAUUCGCAUGAAUGAGUUAUUUUGUCCAGGGGACCGCAGGCUAUGUUGUUUUUCUCCAUGGGAUGCAGUAUAACAUUUGUUUGGAGAAUAUUGCACUGGAGCAAGCGAUAUUCUUGCAUGUCUAGACUUUAUAUGUGACAAGUAAACUCAUGAAAUUUUUGGAAGGUUUUAUCAAAGGUAGAAACGCAGCUCCUUUGUAAAGUCAAGAAUAGGAGUUUAUAUUCCCAUAAUUUGGAAUAGAUCUAAGUAGCUUGGGCCAUGGGCAUCAUUAGUGGCAAAGAAUAUUCCUUUUGUUGAGGAACAAAGAUACCAUCAUGCAUCUUAACAUCCACCAAAACUCCAAAUGAAAUCCAAAGAAAAAGAUGAUGAUAGCUUAUAAACCCCUUCCACUAAAAUGAGGAUAGCUUAUAAAACCAUUCAAUCGGUCCUGAAGUUUGAAGUCCAAAAAAGUUAAUUUAAUACUUCACUACAUGUCGCUCUGGUAUUUUUUUCAAAACGGGGGAAUACCACCGGCAUUUGCAUCAUGUGAUGCACACAACCAUUUUUAUUUAAGUAUUAAUAUCCGAUACAAGAGAUAAGAACAGAACUUCAAUUGACUCGUCAGCCAAACCGGUUGAAUGUAACUUGUGCUAUCGUCUCCCCGCAACUGCACACCAAGAACCAUAGGCACCUAAUCAUCUGCACAUUCUAGAGAGCACCAAGUAUAGAUACAUCAUGUGGCUUGGAAGAUAACCAGCAACAAAUUUAAUUAGUUGUACGAUUAAAAUACAAUCAUAAAGGCAAUACAAUAUUGCCCAUAAUAAGGCACACAUGCCAACGCGCAUAAGAGCCUUGGUGGUUACGACCUUUCAAAUGAUGGGUAGAAAAAUUAUAUAUUUUGGUUGUGUUGUUAUCGCGCUCUUGCAUACCAUGUGUGAGAUUCUUGUUUGACUUCAGCUAUAGUUUAUUUCUUUUUGUUACAACUUUCACUUCGUUUGAAGCUUGCAGGUUGUAGCCUCCACUCCGUUCGACGGGGAAUCAGUUGCCCCAAUGCCGCUACCCCGGCAUCACACACCCAUAUCAGUGAAGCCACCUCCACCACCCCACAAUCCAAGGACACACACAUAUCCGCCAAGGGAAGGUUUAAGGCUCCCGGCUAGCAUGAACGGUGGAGUAAUAUUUUUGGAGAAAAGGGAUAGAUUCCAAAUGCCUUGGUUCCACGACAUUACGUGAAUACCGUCCGUUGUCUCCUUUGUUACCAGGUGUGUACCUUUAAGAAAAUUGUGAAAAUACACCCAAAGGGCAUCUCAUAGCUGACAUUUAUCAACGAAAAUGAUGGACGGCACAAUGAAAAGAUAACAAGAUACAAAGCGACUUGCAAAAAAAUGUACUACAAAAAUCAUACUAGACGUCUUCUUCNNNNNNNNNNNNNNNNNNNNNNNNNNNNNNNNNNNNNNNNNNNNNNNNNNNNNNNNNNNNNNNNNNNNNNNNNNNNNNNNNNNNNNNNNNNNNNNNNNNNNNNNNNNNNNNNNNNNNNNNNNNNNNNNNNNNNNNNNNNNNNNNNNNNNNNNNNNNNNNNNNNNNNNNNNNNNNNNNNNNNNNNNNNNNNNNNNNNNNNNNNNNNNNNNNNNNNNNNNNNNNNNNNNNNNNNNNNNNNNNNNNNNNNNNNNNNNNNNNNNNNNNNNNNNNNNNNNNNNNNNNNNNNNNNNNNNNNNNNNNNNNNNNAAUGUCCUCACUAAACCAGGCUUUAAAGACCGCAAUAGUCACUCGCCGCUAGAAACGAGAUCUAGUAACCAAUGAUGAAAUGUUAGUUCGAGCAUCGCCCCAUACAAUGCAGACUUGCAAUCCUUCAUGCCCAAUCCAAAGGGUUGGAGAAACCGUACCUGAUGUAUACUGUCUCUUGAGCAAGCAAUACACAUGAUUCAUUGCAUUGGUCAAUCAUGUUUGUGGUUCUUGAGAUGGCUACGUCAAAAUUAAUCAUUUUUGGUUCUGAUGUACUCUCCGCGUGGUAGCUGAAUUUACAUAAGGCAAAAAGGUUAACAGUUAAAACUAAUCACAAAAUUAAAGGCGGACCUGAGAUGGCUCAUUGAUGACCUAAAGUGCAUGGAUCACCAUUGUACCUUUUGUGGUAGUAUUGAGAAAAUAUUAUAUUGAUCCAUAGGAAUUAAGGUCAGCCAUUCCUUGUUACCACAACUAGAGUUGACACAAUCUCUAGUCGCUUUUGCACCUAAAAUGUGGUUUGGAAAUUAGUCUAUGAGGUGCUACCUUCUAUCAGACCACCAAAUUAUUGGCUAAACUAGACUAAGAAUGGAUAAUAAAAACAAUAAUUAAAAGAAAUAAACUGUUGUCCAUGUGGCCGAAGAAUUCCUGAACAUCGCCGAAAGCUUUCUCCUUGAUCGUCAUGAGUGUAUGGUGGCACAUUUGGAGAGAGAAAGAGGAACAACAAAAUUUCAAUCUCAAGGCAGCGAGCGUUAUGGUGAAUUGGUGAUGUAUAUGAUCACAUUUGUGAGGAGUUGCAAACUUGGCUUCUUGCUGGCAUCAAAGACGUUUAGUGGAUACCAUCAAUGUUACAUGGCCCUAUCCCCCAUUUCUCUUCUUUUUCUUUCCAUAUUUGUACUAUAUAUAAUUCACCUGGUUUUCAGAAGAAGAAAAAAAGGCACCGCUGCUGCAUUCGGUCAAAUUUAGUUGGGCCAACAACGACGGCACAAAAAAAAGAGGGGUGUUCCGAGAAUCGAACUCGGGACCUCUCGCACCCGAAGCGAGAAUCAUACCACUAGACCAAACACCCUGUUUGAUUACGUAGCCAAUCUAACUUCUUAAAUCCACACAGCUAAUUAGCCGCUUUUUUGUUUCGAUGGCGACUAAAUUAGGCGCUUGUUGUAGGGCAGAUGGAAAUCCAAGUAAAAGGGACAUGAGGGAUUGGCACAAGCUCGGCAAAAGGAAAUGCGUGAGCCGGAUGUGCGUACGGCACUCCAACCAUGCUAAUCGACGUACGCCGGGUUGGCAUGGUAGCUAUCGAUCUCGUGCGAGAUGCCCUACUUGCUACGGCGAAAAUAAUUAGUGGGGGAGCGAUCGAAAACUCAGAGCUGAUCCUCAACUCAUUUAUCCCAGGGUAUAGUAAAUUUCCCCCGCAAAAAGAAAGUGUAAAUAGUAAAUUCAGAUAAAAUAAUAAAAACUUGUUAAAAAAUCUGAAAUGUUUGCACUUCAAAGAUGCUCGACUCUUCUAGGGAAGGCGCGUGCAAAUUUUCAUGGGAGGAACUUUGUAAUAAAACGAAAUCGGAGCUCCAAAAUGUCCAAAGCUGCAAAGAAAUGUCAAACUCCUACUUUCUUUCUGAGCCCCUCCAAACUCACAUUGCCAAGAAAUUUUGCAAGCACCUACACAAGAGUCAAGCAUCUUAGAAGUCCGAAACAUUCAAAUAUACUCCCUCUGUAGUGAUCUAAACGCUCUUAUAUUAGUUUACGGAGGGAGUACUUUUUAAAACUCUAAUUAUUUGUCUCAAAUUUACUUUUCACGAGCUGGACUGUUGGAACAGAUGCAAGUGGGCAUUGAGACGCAGGGGUACCAUGAGUUUGCUGGGUUGGUGCGGAGGACAUCCAACACUAUUUAUUUAACCGUCGUGGCGCACAAUAGGUAUGGAGGGAGCUAGGCCUACGAGAAACUAUUAGGCAUACUGUUAUGCAGGAUAGAUCAGGUUCGGUCACAAAUGGAAAAUAUUAGAGGCCAUAUGUGGUCGGCACCAUCCAUCACUACUAUUGCUUGCUUGCGCCCGCCUGUGAAUGAAUGAAGGCGUGGAGGAUGGAUUUUGCCGUACGGCCUCCUCUUGAGAUUUACAUCUCCCUUCGGUCCCCUCCCGACACUUCUUAAGAGAUCUUAAGCUAGCUUACACCAACUAAUUCUACCAAGCCGUCUUACUAAUUAACAAGCCCGCAUGGUUUUGUAGCAAAGUAGUAAUAACCCAGGGAAGAGGACGUGUGUAAGUAAAGUACCCUGUGAGAUGACUCAGGGGCAUGUAGACGGAAUGGACACAUCUCCUUUUCCUUUUACGUACGUACCCACAUACAUACAUACAUACAUACAUACAUAAGUUUUGGAUAUGUCAUACAAGCUAGUAUUAAAACUCCUGAUACAUCAGUUUUGCCCUGAAUACAUGAGUCUCAUUAUUUAAAAUAUUAGAGGCCAUAUGUGGUCGGCAACAUACUUAUGCUAUGAGUACAUCUUCUGUCAACAUGGACGGACGGAUGCUGCAGCGCAUACUUAUGCUAUGAGUCAUUAACCUCAGGUUACGACUUUGUUGUGCCCGGUUACGAAAUGGUUCUUACCGGACACGGUAUUGUGGCUCCCCGAUACAACAUUGUUGCUCCCAGAUACGAUAUUUUUGCUCCCACCUACGUCAUUGUGGGUCCCGGAUACAAUAUUGUGCUUCCCAAUCACGACAUGGUGGCUCCCUGACGCGGCAUGGUUGCUCCCAGAUACGACAUGGUUAUCCCCAGUUACGACAUGGUUAUUACCAUAUACGACCUGGUAGCUCCCGGAUACGGCGUUGUUAUUCCCAAUUAUGAUAGUGUUGUCGUUCCCGGCCACAACAUUGUUGCUCCCAGAUCUGACAACGUUGUUGGUCCCAGCUAUGACAUUUGGCGCAUGCUUAAGUUGUCGGCGAAGUGUGCUUCUUCCGCUACGCUUCAGAUACAAUGACAUGUUAGUGAAACUGAUACCUGGUGAACAUCCAGAGGUGUUGAGGCCCUUAGAACUCUUGGGUACCUCGCCAACCAAUGUAUUGUUGGAGAGAUCCAAGUAGCAAAGGUGGUCGAGCCUACCAAUCCACGACGGGAUGGUGCCGACCAGUUGGUUGCGGGACAAGUCAAGCACCUCCAUAUUCUUGCAUUGAGACAACCAUUCAGGAACCUUGCCCUUGAGAGCACAAUCACCAAGAUCGAGCACCACGAGGCUCUUGAACCCAGCAAUAAUGCCAUCAUCGGGUAGCUCCUCGCCGCCGAAAUUCUUGGUGAGAAUCAGCGUGAUGAGGUUCUGGCACCCACGCAGCAUGGUGAGCGCCCCUGAGAUGUUGUGCAAGCUGUUGUAGCCGAGGUCGAGUUCCUCCAGCCGCGCGAGCCCCGCGAGGGAGGCUCCUGGGAUGGGCCCCACGAGGCCGCGCCCAGGGAGGCGCAACGACGUGACGCGGCCGUUGGCGCCGUCACAACCCACGCCAUCCCAGCCGCAGCACAUGGCGCCGGACCACGCAGCGCGAAGGAGAACGGCCCCCCUGCUAAGGUUCCCGGCGAAGCCCCGCAGCGCGUGUAGGUCGUCGGGGUGGCACGAGGUGGCGCGUGCCUCGGGCAAGAGACCCGCCAAGAAGAGGAGCAGCAGGCAGCAUUUCACCAUGGGAUUCAUUCAGCUCUAGUGAGUGAUUCACAGCCGCUCUUGGUGUACAAACUGCUUGGGUGUUGCAUCUAUCGUUAUUUAUAGUUUCUACAACAUGUGCGUUGUUGCAAGUAGUAGAGAGUAAGUGGCCACCCCACGAACAAGUAAGUGCCUGCCAUUGAUUUGAUCUGUGACUGUCGACUGGGCUGAAAUUCGUGGGCGCCAACUCCUCCUCCUCCUCUUCUAUCUUUUACUUUACUUCCCAUCAAUCAAAAAGUGAAAAAAAAAACAUAUACUUUACUUGUCGACAGAGAGCACCUGGCAUUCCUAUAGUGCUCAUGCUUCUUGUCUUUUUUUUUCCUUUUGUCGACACUUGUUUCCACCCACUGGAUGUAUCUUGUCAAACUUUGUCGAAACAUCCAGGGAUAAAAUACGUUUGAAUUCUUACAAAUUCCUUGUUGAAUGGAUGCAAUCUCAUCUUAAUCUUUUCUAAUAAAGUGUAAAUGUAUCUCAAUAACUAGUAUGCAUUCUGUUUGCACACGAACACGUCACCGUGUACCCUCGACGCCGGGGGUGAUGCACCGCAGCUCACGUCAAAGGAGACCCGUCCGGAAGCGCGGUACGCAAGCAAUCCGGCGGGUGCUUUUGAGGACCCAAAACCCCACACGCCCGGGAGGGACCCCGUCAGGGCGCACGACGGCUAUGGGCUGCCCUAGGUCGACCUGAUCGCCCCUAGGGCCUCGAGGUUCGCCGCCCUGCAAUGAAGAAGAACGAACGAAGAACGAGGAAGAAGAAGAACUAGGGUUAAGGAGAAAAGAUAAAAGAUAAAAGUGGUAGAUGAUUUGUUUGAUUGUGUGUUGUUCAAUCGGCCGUCACCCCUUAGGUAUAUAAGAGGCGGCUGGACUUCCCGUGCAAGGAAAAGGCUUGGAUUCACGUCCAAAACCCUAGUCAAAUUCGGAUUGGUUUUGUCCGAACUUUCCAAAACUGUUCGGUUUAAACUGGUUGCACCUUGCGGGUCUUUUUUGUGGUGGUAAACGAUCUCGGAUGGAAACGAGCCCAAAAGCAAUCUUGACCGUUUCGACGAGACGAACAACUUGUAUGUUGAACGUUUUUUGAUCAAAGGUCAUCUCGAGGUUCAAAUUGGUCGCGCAAAACAGGCUAUCCCUCGCGCUACCCAUCAGACAGGGUGUCUGGUGGGGCGCGCCAGUUUUUGCCUCGUGACAGGGCUGUAUUCUGAUGGCUCUAACUUUUGCAUACGAACUCGGAUUGGAAUGAUUUUUAUAUCAAAAUCGAUCGUUUCGACGAGACGAAGACAACCCGUGUAGAUAAUUUUUCCAUUUGAGGUCUUCUUGGGGGCUUAAUAAGCCAAACUGUACUCUGAAUAUAAGAUCUUAGUACUUUGAGCAUAGUUUCGGCCUUCGAGAUGAAAUCGGAGUGCGAUGACACAAACUUCAAAGAUGUUCAUAUCAACAAUACAGAACUCUUUCAUGAAGAUCACUUCUCCAUUUGAGGCCAUCUUAAAUAAGUUAUUGACCGUGCCAAAAUCUGGUGUCAACACAUGCCCCCCGUUUUUCGGCAAAACUUGUGUGCCGAAAAAUAACUUGCACGAAGUUUGUUCUAAGCGCGAUGUCAACACUCCAUCGGCCAUUUUGUACGUGCUUUAGACGAUAAGUAUAUAUCGGCCAUUUAGAUUAGCAACAAAAGUGAAGCUAAUCGAACAUAUAAUGAUUUGGUAAUACCCUUUCGUGAUGUAAGAAAUUAUAUUUUAUCCAUGGAUUAAAAUAAGCCCAUUGAGGGUAACCAAUCAUACCUGAUGAAGAAUUCCAUGGCAUAGGCAUGAACGGCAUUGUUGAAGAAAAUGGAUAAUAUGUGGACCGAAGAAGUUAAAACCUUCGGCUUGGUCCUUCGUAGCUUUCACUCUUUUCCUUCUUCACCUUUGUCGCACUCCUUGUAAAGGAAGCUCGCACAUAAUUCUUAUUUUGAAUAUUUCCUUUGGGAACACAUGCCAUAUUUUUCUUUUCAAGUUCUUGUGCACUCAGCUUCUGCAACUCCUUCUUUUGCCAAUACGAUAAGCCGAGUGGGCAUCCCAGCUGCGAUUUUGUUUGAAGUAAUGGCAAUUCUUGUUUUACCUUGUGCACUCUCAACUUCUUCCCUUCAGAUUUGACACUUGAUUGACUUGCCUCAUUGCCUUUUGUAGCCAAUGUCAACACUUUAAUUGGCUCUUUUCCAUUUGAGAUCAUAUCUGAAGUGGCACUCUUACGACCAUCUCUUUUGACGCGGUAGAUUUGCUCAACCACCUCCUUAUUCUUCCUUGUGCACCAGACCGAUUCUUUAUGAUUGAAAUGGUCUUUGACGCGUGAUUGUUCAAAUGUUAAUCUCCUUGGAGCUGCAUAGUAUUGGUGAGAUGGUCUAGAAUAAGAUGGAGAAUGUGCCCUUGUAUCAUACCUGUCCCAUGAUGAAUAUGUAUCUAUAUGAGCAUAGGGAGGCAUCCACGGCAUUGGCAUUGGCGGCCCAAAAUAAGGAUAUGAAUAUGUUGCAUUAAAAUUAUCACUUUGCCAAUACCAAUCCUCAUAUUUGCGUCUUGGGGGUGAUCUUGGUUUCUUUGCAUGAUUUGGCCGAUAAGCAUUCUUCUCUUCACUCUUCUUUUGAUAUUUAUUCAAUAGUUCAGCGAAGGUGAUUUUUGAUCUCUUAUACUUGCGCUUAUUUCGGCCUUUGUUUCCUUUGGUUGUGCUUGCACCAAUCAUUGGAUUUGCUUGUUGCCCCCCAGUCCUUGGCGUCUCCAUUAUAGCUUCGAUGGAAUUCUCGCCCUCAAAAUUAUGUUCAUUAUGCUCUUCAACAACUUCUUUACUUGAAAGCUUGACCCCAUCACCUGCAGUUUUUACCUCCUCUUUAAAUGGAUCGGCUUGAAGCAGCCGAUGCAAAAACUUUCUGCCAUCGAGACCAAUCGUAAUAAACUGGUCAUCUCUUGGUGUCUCAACAAAUUUCAAUCGUCCUUUAUCAAUGGCCGAUUUAACUAUUUAACGAAACAUAUUGCAAUCCUCAAAAUUAUGUUUGAACGAAUGAUGCAACCUACAAUACAUUCGUCCUUGAAUUGAUGGCUUGACAUGGUGAUCAAGAAUUCUUAUGUAAUUAUUUUUCAGCAAUAAAUUAAAUAUUUGGUCACACAUGCUUGAAUUGAAGGUAAACUUCUUGCUUUCUAGCCGAUCUUGUUGUGUGAAUGGCUUUGAAGAUAAGCAAAUGAAUGGUUCAGAUUUAGAAUCUUCUCAUUCGGCUAUACAUUGUGUUUUCCACUCUAUCUCCGGUGUCUUUGGAUAAGAUAUUAUAUUAGCAUCGGAUUUCUCAAAAGAAAUUAACCUUGGCUUUAAACUUCCGAUACGAAAAUAUUUAGAACACACAUGUCUCAAUUGAGACAAAGUGCAAGCCAAGUAAGAAAUAAGCAAAGCCACCCAACUAGAUAUGUACUUUAGAUAAAGCAACAGGGAAAGCUUUGGCCACAACAAUAAGUCAUUAUCGAUCUUUAUAAAUGGUGCAAUGGGUUGACCGAUAUAGUCUAUAACAAUUUUGUUGCUAACAAGUAAAUUACUCUUCUUCAUUGGUCUUUCAAAAUUACUUAUGAGAAUUUUUCUUAUAGAAGCAUCGACAAUAAAGUUGCGACCAAAUCGGAAUAUAGGCAAGUCACUUGCUAGACAUACCUCUUCAAUUACGUUGGGAGAGCAUGAUGGUUGUAUCACUUGAAUAAUACUUUGUUCCACUUUUGAAUGACUCUCCAAUGCCUUGGCAUCCUCUUUUUCUUUGAUAGAUUCGGUACACAUACUAUUUGAUUCGACUUUUUUAAUAACCAAAAUAACUUUGUUAUCCGAAUCACCAAUCUUUCUUUCUUUGAUUCGCAAGGUUGCUUGUUCUUGUCUAAAUUCAGCAAACAUUGCAACUAGUCUAUCUUUAAGCUUUUUUCGACCAAUUUCAGCCCAAUCUUCAUCGGAUUGCCNNNNNNNNNNNNNNNNNNNNNNNNNNNNNNNNNNNNNNNNNNNNNNNNNNNNNNNNNNNNNNNNNNNNNNNNNNNNNNNNNNNNNNNNNNNNNNNNNNNNNNNNNNNNNNNNNNNNNNNNNNNNNNNNNNNNNNNNNNNNNNNNNNNNNNNNNNNNNNNNNNNNNNNNNNNNNNNNNNNNNNNNNNNNNNNNNNNNNNNNNNNNNNNNAUUGUGCAGGGGCAACAUGAUAUGCUAUGUUACUAGGUAAAGACACAUGCGCUCUGGUAGAAUUCUCACUUAUUCGUCCAUGAGCAUGAAGGUGCGAAGCCGAAUCACGAAUAUCUACAAUUGCAUAUGGUGCCGAAAAAUUCGUAGCAUGAGGUGUAGCAUACGAUGUUUGAGGGUAAUUGACCGAAUAACUAGUAGUGGCAUGGCCAAUUCCCCUAUCCACCGGCACGUUUGGAUUAACAUACUGCAAGUUAUUUGCCGAUGAAUAAAAAGUUGAAACACUUUGUUGCAUACUAUUGGAAGUUCCUACAUGGGGUGUCUCAACAUGAUUAACCGAACUCAUCAUGUUGUUCAUCGGCAUAUAGAUUUGUGGGGUUGCCGAUGCAUGGGAGUUGGGAUACAUAUGUUGCAUGUUGCUAAAAUUAUAUGAAGUUGAAGCAUGAAGAUUAUUCUGAAUCGGCUGUUGCACAUAAUUAGAUGCAUGAUUGAUAAAACUACGGCUAGCCGAUACAAUAUGCUCAUUAGACGAUCUAGCAACAACAUAUGUAUUAUUUGCAUCUACAUAAGUGAAUUGGGUAUUCAUGUUACCUUUGUAGAUUGCAAACCCUAGAUGACGAUCUCUUCGUAGCAAGAACGAGCUGGAGACCGUUCAAAGCUUCGUCCCCAGCGGAGUCGUCAAAAAGUGUGUUUGCACACGAACACGUCACCGUGUACCCUCGACGCUGGGGGUGAUGCACCGCAGCUCACGUCAAAGGAGACCCGUCCGGAAGCGCGGUACGCAAGCAAUCCGGCGGGUGCUUUUGAGGAUCCAAAACCCCACAUGCCCGGGAGGGACCCCGUCAGGGCGCGCGACGGCUAUGGGCUGCCCUAGGUCGACCUGAUCGCCCCUAGGGCCUCGAGGUUCGCCGCCCUGCAAUGAAGAAGAACGAACGAAGAACGAGGAAGAAGAAGAACUAGGGUUAAGGAGAAAAGAUAAAAGAUAAAAGUGGUAGAUGAUUUGUUCGAUUGUGUGUUGUUCAAUCGGCCGUCACCCCUUAGGUAUAUAAGAGGCGGCUGGACUUCCCGUGCAAGGAAAAGGCUUGGAUUCACGUCUAAAACCCUAGCCAAAUUCGGAUUGGUUUUGUCCGAACUUUUCAAAACUGUUCGGUUUGAACUGGUUGCACCUUGCGGGUCUUUUUUGUGGUGGUAAACGAUUUCGGAUGGAAACGAGCCCAAAAGCAAUCUUGACCAUUUCGAUGAGACGAACAACUUGUAUGUUGAAUGUUUUUUGAUCAGAGGUCAUCUCGAGGUUCAAAUUGGUUGCGCAAAACAGGCUAUCCCUCGCGCUACCCAUCAGACAGGGUGUCUGGUGGGGCGCGCCAGUUUUUGCCUCGUGACAGGGCUGUAUUCUGAUGGCUCUAACUUUUGCAUACGAAUUUGGAUUGGAACGAUUUUUAUAUCAAAAUCGAUCAUUUCGACGAGACGAAGAUAAUCCGUGUAGAUAAUUUUUCCAUUUGAGGUCAUCUUGGGGGCUUAAUAAGCCAAACUGUACUCUGAAUAUAAGAUCUUAGUACUUUGAGCAUAGUUUCGGCCUUCGAGAUGAAAUCGGACUGCGAUGACCCAAACUUCAAAGAUGUUCAUAUCGACAAUACAGAACUCUUUCAUGAAGAUCACUUCUCCAUUUGAGGCCAUCUUAAAUAAGUUAUUGACCGUGCCAAAAUCUGGUGUCAACACAUUCACUGAAACUUGAUGCAUACUACCCUCUCCGUUCCUAAAUAUAAGUCUUUUUAUAGAUUUCAAUAUGGCCUACAUACAGUGGCCGAGCCAGCUCGGCCGGUGAGCCGGGGCAAAGUCCAGGACGCUCCUGCCUGCCGUUGUUUGCCCAUGCAAAAUGAUGCUUGGCUCUCCAUUAAUUACUACUGAUCAAAGGAGAAUGCAUGGCACAGCCCGGGCAGCUGCCCCGGCUAGCCGGGAGGUGGCUCCGCCACUGCCUACAUAGAAAGCAAAACGAGUGAAUCUGCACUCUAAACUACGUCUAUAUACAUUCAUAUGUAGUUUAUAUUGAAAUAUUUAAAAAGACUUAUAUUUGAAAACAGAUGGAGUAGUAUUAGUGAAAAGAGUUUGUUACCUUUCUAAGGUACUUGGCAUGAAGUUUCAGUGGUCCAGCACAGGCCGUCAACACUUAGUAGCGCUCUUCAUAUUCGCCCUCUCUACUUGCCAAAUUGACGGGUUGAUUUUACUCUUGGUUUAUAUCCUUGAGCACUUCUAUCAGUUGCAGGCCUGCUCUCUUUUCAUACGUGGACAACAUGCCAGGAUCAUAUUCUAGAGCCCACGUCAUCUACAAAUAGCAAACAUGAUCAUUGAUCAGUGUUCACCAACCAGGGUCAAUCUUUGUAAAGCAGAGUUAUUAUGAAACUUAAAGAAACAUGAAGUGUUGUUCCUUAACACAUGACAACCAGGGUCAUAGUUGGCUGGCCUUUUACUGGACACCUCCUUUACAGAGAACAGUUUGCAACAAUGCUAAUAACUAGCUAGCGCUUAAAAAAUCCAUGGAUUCAACCCAACUAAGCUUGAGUGUGUGAUUGUUUACCAGUGGUAACCAUCUUGACCGUUUUUGGCUGGCUGGUAAUAGCAUUCGCUUUAUUUUGUGGACACAAAAACAACCCUGGCCACACAAAAGCCAGUAGGGAAUAUGCAUUCUUUUUCUUUUCUUUUCUUUUUGAGGGGAGAAAUAUGCAUUCUGUUGGAUGGCUUCCAUGACUAAACCUGAUUUUCAACACCUUUGAACAAAGUCAUGGUAUAAAUAAAGAGAAUGAAAGAAAACAUCUGAAUAUGACAACUAAAACAUAGUGAAAGUGCAGUUAAACUACUGUGCCGAAUUUGGUUCAUAGAUCACCCGCAAGAUUUAGGAUUCUCAAACAGAAUAAAACCCACAAGAUUUAUUCAGCACAAACUUUGAUCUUUUACCAUACCAUUUCUAGGGGCGUAAACAUACACAGCUUCGACGGUUUGUUCGAAUUUUCCCCGAGCUUAAGGAACAUACCAGAGUGUGAAUACAAGACUCAUCUAUCUUUUACUUUACUUCCCAUCAAUCAAAAAAACAGAGAAAAAACAUAUACUUUACUUGUCGACAGAGAGCACCUGGCCUUCUUGUAGUGCUCAUGCUUCUUGUCUUCUUUUUCCUUUUGUCGACACCUGUUUUCUACCCACAGGAUGUAUCUUGUCAAAUUUUAUUGAAGCGUCCGGCCAUAAAAUACGUUUGAACUCUGCUCCACUCAUGGUCUCCCUUUUUUUUUGUUGAGAGCCUUGCCAAGAUGCUCCCCGCGUCGCCCCCGCUCGUGGACACAGGCGGGGACGAAACCCUAGCCGUCGGGGCUCUCCCUCCUUCCCUCCCUCCCUCCCUCCGCCGCCGCCGAAGGACGACGCCGGCCUACAGCCGGGGGAGGGGGGGCGACUGAGGUGGCGGGGGCUCCCACCAUGGGAAUGGUGCGAAGCCCCGCUGCGUGAGGAGGCGCAGCCGAUCUGGCCUUGGCGGCGCGGCGGCCGGCUCUGCCUCGACCGUCGACGGCUGCGAGCGUGCUAGCCUGCCUUGCUUCGGGCUGCGGUGUUGGCUGCAUUAGGCGGCGGCAACCGGAUCUGCAUCAACAGGCCAUCUGACCUCGGAUUGGCGGCGGUGGCAUGGAGGGCCUGGUGGACGUGUUGGCACAAUGAGUAGUGUGGCCUCUGGGCAGAUCUGAUCUAGCCGGUAUGGCCUGGUUGCUGCGCGGCGGCUCAGUUCGGUUGUGACCCGCACACACGAUGGUUGAUGGAGGUUCGUCGAGCGGAUCCCGGUGAAAACCUCGUUCUCAACUUGUUGCCAAGACCGGCGAUGGCGGCACUCUUUUGUGGCAAUAUCUUUUUGGAGGCAUCAUCGUGGAGAAGGUUCAGACAUCUAUCUGCUACUUCCGGGGAAACCCUAGACAUCUAUCUGCUACCUCCGAGGAAACCGUAGAUCAGUAGAAGUACUGCUCUACUGAAGAUGGUAGUCAAUCUUUGUUUGCAAAGCAGAGUUAUUAUGUAACUUAAAGAAACAUGAAGUGCUGUUUCUUGAGACAUGACAACCAGGGUCGUAGUUGGCUGGCCUUUUACUGGACACCUCCUUUACACAUAGCAGUUUGCAACAAUGCUAAUAACGUAAAAAUCCAUGGAUUCAACCCAACUAAGCUUGAUUGUGUGAUUGUUUACCAGUGGUAACCAUCUUGACCCUUUUUGGUUGGCUGGUAAUACCAUCCGCUUUAUUUUGUGGACACAAAAACUACCCUCACCACAAAAAACAGUAGGAAAUAUGUAAUCUGUUGGAUGGCUUCCAUGACUAAACCUGUUUUUUAACACCUUUGAACAAAGUCAUGGUAUCAUUAAAGAGAGUGAAACAAAACAUCUAAAUAUGGCAUCUAAAACAUAUGGUUCAUAGAUUAGGAUUCUCAAAUAGAAAAACCCACAACAUUUAGUAUUCAGCACAAUCUUUGAUCUUUACCAUGCCAUUUCUAGGGGCAUAAACAUACACAUCUUCGACUGUUUGUUCGAAUUUGCCACAGCUUCCGCUGCGAGGGAACAUACCAGAGUUUGAAUACAAGACAAUGAGACUUUUGAAUUCUCUUUCAGCUAUAGUACAUAAAGCCACAACACACGAAGCCUCUUCUGAACUUUUAACUAUGGCUACUGCUCCCUGUCCUGUUAUAUCCAGGGAGAUUCAGAUACAACUCUCAAGCUUGCUAUUUCCUUGCUGCAAGCCUGCAAACCUCAUAGGUUCCUGUCAGUGUUUGUUUGGGUCAGCCGCGGACAUUGUUGCUUGGUCAUAGCGACCGCCUUUCACGGUGCCUCCUGAAGAAGCGGUGGCUCAGGGCUUCCUGAGCGGUCAGCCUGGCCGAAGGCUCGUAUGCCAGGAGGCCCUGCAGCAGCCCGAUCAGGUCCCCAGCAGAGUGAUCCACAUGCUGCAUCACCAGGUUCUGCAUUGCAGGAUUGGAUGAAGUGGUUAUAAAACAAUCUAACAAACUUAAGCAAAUACCGUGUCACUGCGGCAGAGAAACAAAAAUACAUCUUGAAUACAAACAAGGAAACUUAGGAGCCACUGGCACUAGAUUUCAGGGCGAGAAAAAAUUGGAAUGCCCCAGAAACUAAUAGGGAAGCUCGUCCUGUUUGCGUACCUGGAGGCGAGGCAGCUUGAGAACAGCUCUCAUGCUCUCUCGUGUCGUUGCACCUUCUGGCCAGUUCAACCUUCCUCUUCUGAUGUACUUCUGCGCAUGGUGGCUGAAUUUACACAAGGCAAAAAGGUCAACCAUCAAAACUAAUCACAUAGGUGGCAUUAGAUCCUAAUGUGGCAAUAACACAGGUAGUGGAUAAUUAAUAAACAUACUCGGCUCUUUCCAGCAUGUGCCGUGGGAGAGGACCUAGAACCCUCUCCAUCAUCGCCAAGUGCUCCAAGUUUUCAUGGGUCUGGAAUAAUGUCUCGCCCUGUAAUACAUAAGAGGCCAGUUCAAUCAUACAUGCACAUGAACCUUUCCCAAGACAAAGACAGACAAGAGAUACAAACACAUACCGAGCAAAGCUCAACGAGUAUACAACCAAUGCUCCAUAUAUCACAUGGAUAGCUCCACCCGUGCCCUAACACAAGACCAGGGAAAGUCAGCUCCAGUAUUUGAUAAAACAAUCAAAAGUAUGUGCCCCUAAUAGCCAGUCAUGUCCAAAUCCAUACCCAAAAUAACCUCAGGAGCACGGUAGUGCCUAGUAGAGACAAUGUAGCUACAGUCUUGAUGAUCAUAUGCUGUGCUACCAAAGUCGAUUAACUUGAUCGCACUUGAUUUUGGCACCUUCUUUGAGAAUGAUCCAUCCUAGAUUUUAAACAUAUAUACAAUUAGGAAAAAUAAAGCAGCGUGUUGUAUUUAACACAGAACUAUACUGAACACGACUUUUAUCUGCUUUGAACAUGGUGCAAAUUUUAAGGGGAAAAAAUUCCUGCAACUUAACGGUUAUUCGGUAUUAUGCAGUGGUAAUACAUACCUUGUUUUCAGCUAAUUUAGCAUCCUCUGAAGAAACAAGGAGAAUGUUCUCUGGUUUUAGAUCAGUAUGAAUUAACUUCAGGCCAUGCAUAACUGCAAUGAGGUAAGAUAAAUAUCAAGAUACAUGACACGGAAGCAUAUGAACCAAAUUAUGAGCACCCAAAUACACACAAAAGCAGAUAGCCUAAAAAUCAGGAAUAAAAGAGAAGAGAAAAAUGCAUGCGGAAACUUCUACUCAUUUUUUCCGAAAAUGACAGAAAAAACCCAGUCCAAGAUAUGAUAUAGAAGAAUAAGCGCACAGAGAAAAAGAAAAGCAAACAAAUAGAGAAUCUUAAUAGAAAACAAAGCAAGUACAAAAUAUAUGAGGUUUCAAAGGUACAGUCUCUACACACAUGCGACAGAUUCCAAAAGUUGCUCUCCAAGCUCACGAACUAGGUCGAUUGGAAAUGGGCGGUAGGCAGUUUUCCGCAGAAAGUCAUACAAGCUUGGGCCAAGCUUCUCGCAUACCUGUUGAGUCAUUGAAAUUUAUUGACUAACUGGACCCCAAGUCUAACAGACAAGUUGGGGAAAUUCUAUGAAUCAAGCAUAUGUACUUACAAUACAAAUAUGGUUACGAUAGUCAAACCAGUUCCGUAUUUGCACACAGCUGCAAAAACACUCAGGAGUAUGUAACUUAUUUCUUUAGCAACAUGACACAAAAAAUAAAUACACAAUUUAGUCCAUCCCGUACUUAUUUAUUUAUUAGCUUCCUUGUGGAGGUAGAAGAGUUAGAUGUAUAACUUACUGUUUUCCUGUGGCGUCAUUUCUUGCGAGCUUCUGCAGCACAUCAAUCUCUAUCAUUGCUGCGUCACUGUAUUUGUUUACAGCACGAACAAUUUUAAUAGCUACCAUUUCUUUUCUUUCUCUGUCCCAACAUUCCAGUACCUGACCAAAAGUACCUAAACAGACAGAGAUAUUCCAAUGUUAAUGUAAAUAUAAAAUGGAAGCUAGUUACUAGACAAUAUCAGGUGGAUCUGAGCAACAUUGGUGCCACAAGUUCAUUAAUUUAAGAUUUCACAAAUCUAUACUCGUGACCAUAAGAAAAUACUAACCUUCGCCCAUCUUUCUGUAUAUUUUAUCUGCAAAAAUAGUGAGAAGGGGUAUGAGAGCAGAGCCUUCUAAGGAGCUCAAUAAUUUAAGACAAUUUGUGCAAAUAAAGAUAACUAGCAUGCACUUUGCAAAAAGACAUGUUUGUGUUAACACUAAGACAUAACAGUAACAUCAUCUGGUGCAGCUACAAAAUAGGCCAGCAUGUAAAACCUUGUAGACUUCAAACAACCCGAAACCAAGGAAAUAAGGUCAAAUGUAAAAACCCUACACAAGAAAAGGGGAAAUCCAAAAACUAUUUGGAAAUUCGAAGAUGGAAAACAAAUUUGAGUUAACAUGAAACUAAUUAUAUCAACCUGUUUUUUUUUUGGUAAAAGAAGUUAAAUCAUAGAUUUUAAGGUACUUGUUGACAGAACAUUACAUGAGUAACCAAGGAACAUAAGGAGGUACCAUAAGUCUGCAGAAUGGAAAAAUUCAACAUACAGAUACAUCUCUAGUUUUCUGUAGUGCAGUUUAACAAAUGCUAAAACAUUUUUUUAUUAAAAAGGGAAAAGGGAAAUGGAAAAAAGAAGUUUCCUGCAGGCUAAGGGUCACAAACACAGUCAUUAUACUCAAAUAAUGAUGGUCAAGUGUAAUUACAGCGAGAGGUCAAAUUCUCUCCAACAGCAAAUACAUAAUGGCCAUCUUUAUCGUCUUCUCUCCGAGGAGGGGAAGCAUUUCGAGCAACACCCUUUGAGAGCAGAGAGAAGCAAGUAUAGUCCGGAGGAUGUGACGGCAAUACCAUGGUGGUCAUAUCGCCAACUUCUUGCCCACAAAAUGUUAUCUGAGCCUACACACAUCGAUCACUCAAGUUUUUCAUGCAGAAAAGAGAAUAUAAUACCCAUCUGAUGUUAAUGUUCUCAAGUGGAACACAAAAUAAACAAAGCACAGACACAGUAAUAAACCUGUAGCAUUUAUAGCAUCAUGCAAAAAUAUCUUACCUGAAAGCACUCAUGUUAACAAAGAAAAUGACACUUAGUAUGCUACACGAUACUUGUACGUGUAAAUUUGAGCCAGUAAUACACUGCCGAAUAUUCUGAACAUGAAAUCCAUAGUUCUCACUAGAUGAAGCGAGGUAUGUUAGACGAUAAUAAUGAAGAUCCACCCAAGUAUUUCACAUAUAUUUUAGGCAGUGAAUAUAGGUGCAUCAAGUUAAACAUGAAUUGUACUAAAUUCAACAACAUCAUGAUAAGCUGAAAGUUCUACGAAAUUAAGCACCCGGACUCAAGCAAAGCCUGAGAGAACCACAGACAAAAGAAAUUACAGGGGUAAUUUGGUCCGACAUCCUAAUUUGACCGACGAUGGCCUGUAACAGCUCUACACAAUCGCAGAGCCAACGGUAUCUGCAGUUCGAUCAAUCAAUCGCAGCCUAAGCAGGUCUGGCAUCAGACACACGACACUCUAAACGUUGGAUUCUGCGCCAAAAUUCCCGCUAAGCACACCCCCCGCGAGCUAGAUCUAGACGGACCGCGCCUCGUCCAGCUCAUGCUACGCCUCGGAACAGAAACAAAAGGCCCUGAUCAUGCUAGGGCUAACGAAACCGCGGAGGAAUUCCGUCGAAUCGCGCCCCGAAUCCGCGGAUCGGGUCAGAGCAGAGCAGAGCAUACAGGGGGGAAUGGGGGCGUCUGUUUACCUUGGUCGCUGGCGCGACGUCCCAGCCGUGGCGGGCCCGCUUGCGGGGGCGGCCGGCGGGCAGAUCGGCCGCGGCGGCGCACCUGGUCGCCAUCGGUGCGUUCGAAUUGGGGGGAUUUGGUGGGAGCACGGGAGGGAGGCGAGGUGGGGGAAACGCGCCAAAGGGGAAAGUGUGAGGCCGGUUGCUAUGUAGGGAGGGGGGUGGGUUGGGUUGGGUUGGGUGGGGAUCGGAUGCUGCCGGGUUUGACUUUUGACCCGGCCAGCGGCGCCAAGAUUCGUGCCAGGCCUGAGGUUAGGUACUCCCUCUGUAAAUUAAUAUAAGAGCGUUUAUAGAUCACUAAAAUAGUGAUCUAAAUACUCUUAUAUUAGUUUACGGAGUGGGUACUUACUACAGGGUUGGGAAUUUUUGUAAACCUGGUUUUUAUGGAAUUUGCAACGUUUAAUUGUUUUUCUCAAUAAAGGGUUGCACAAACUAUAUCAGGCGCAUACGAAACCGAACUGAGGGUUUAUACAAGUUUUCAUUUGAUGUGACUCUCUUCUUUUUCUAAAUAUAAGAUCUUUUAAAGAUUUUAAUAUUCACUCAGUUUGCUCCGUAUGUAAUCUAUGUUAAAAUCUCUAAGGGCAAGUCCAACGCGAGCGCUAAGCAAGGGGCGCCAGGGAUUAAAUCCUACUCCCUCCGUUCGAAUUUAGAUGACUUGCAUUUGUCCACAUUAGAAUGCAUCUAUACUUGUAUAGUGUCUAGGUACAUCCGUUUCUAGACAAAUGAAAGUCAUCUAAUUUGGAACGGAGGGAGUAGUAGUUUUGGCAGUUUCCAUAUUUUUCCCGGUUUGUUUUUUGGCAUCGAUGCCCAGCGAGGAGUCGGACGCUUGAAAAAAAAGUAUAAAAUCCAGCUCCUAGCGACCAGGCGCUUGUGCUAUGCAGUAAAUCUUUAUUUUAUUUAUCUUAAGCGCCUCAACUAGCAUCUGUGCAUUGUAGAUGCCCCUAACCAGUCUUAUAUUUAGAAACGAAGGGGGCACAUUCGACGUGCCAUAUUGUGGGUUGAACUUGCUUUAUGUGGUGAUUUCAAGAAGCCAAAAAGGGGGGGGGGCAUGACAAUGAAUUUCUUCCUUUGGGACCUAAAUCAAAAAUACAAUUCGAGGCAAAAAAAUGCAAGAGUUUUUUUGCCAUGCUUAUCACAUGCACAUGUUAUUGGCUUGAACCCUAAACAUAUGAUCAUAUCUAGAAUGUUAUGAACUUGCGAGGAUUCUAGCAAUAUAUAUGUCCAUGCAUAGAUGACCAGUAAGGCACUGGAAAAUUGAUAUGAUAAUUGACAAAAAACAGAUGCACACCCACCGAUUACAGACCUUCCAGGACAAGAAUGGAAAGGAUGAAGCAAAGAGCGGUGCCAACUUCUGAGGGAAGGGGCGGAAAUCAUGAAGAAACCACCAAAUGAAAAUAUACUCUAGAAUUUUCUACUCCCUCCGUUCUUGAAUAUAAGCCUUUUUAGAGAUUCCAAUGCGGAUUACAUAUGAAGCAAAAUAAGCGAAUCUACACUCUAAAAUAGGUCUAUAUACAUUCGUAUGUAGUCCUUGCCGAAAUCUCUAAAAAGACUUAUAUUUAUGAACGAAGCGGGUAUUGGUUACAACUAAUCUAGAAAAUCUUACUAUAGAAACUCUAUUAGGGUAUUUCUUGCAUUUGUGGAUAUAUAUACUCCUUCCGAUCUUUUUACUCCGCGUAUUAGAUUUUAUUCAAGUCAAACAUUGCAAAGUUUGACCAACUUUAUAUAAGAAACUAUCAACAUCUACAAUAUCAAAUAUAUAUACUAUGAAAUUAUAUUUCAAAACGAAUCUAAAAAAAAUUGACAUCGUGAAUAUUAAUAUUUUUUCUAUAUGUUUGGUCAAAGUAAAGAUACUUUACUUUGAACAAAACUUUUAUGCAGACUACAAAAGACCGGAGGGAUAACAUAACCCACAUGGCUAAUAAUGCUAUACUUAUACACUUCAUAUUUGAAAGCGCAAACAUUUGGAUUGUAUAACAGCACACUUCGAGUUACAAUGUUGGUUGUGGUUAGAAUUGCAAGUUAAUGCAUGUAUCAUCAAAAAAUAAAGUUAAUAUUUAGCGAGAAAAUGAUCUAUGAGAAGAUAAAAAUAUUUAGUAUAUAUAAGUGAUGGUUUGCUUACCAUUUUACCUUUUGUGGCCCGUGAUUCGUCGAAGUAGAGUGACUUUAUAUUAUAUUCCUACUUACUUAAUGACAUCUUAUUUGUCGAAGGUGUCAAGUUGUAAUUUGCUAAACAUUUAAUAAAAAGAUUGUUCGUAGUCACAGAAUCGAGAUUUGCAAAACACACUAGACUGGAGCAACCAGACCGAAAAUAAAGCACAUUUGCCCUUGUGUUGCUCGAUCAGGUGACACUCGCACCCAAAUUCAUGUCACCUCCAAAUCAUACGUACUCGGCAACAGUAUGCGCGUACCCAACAUCAACGUUAAAAGAUUGGUCUGGUUGAUCGUACAAAGUAUUAGAGCGGAAGGACACAUGAAUGAGCUAAAGGUGGAGCCAUGCUAACUUAAACUAUGUGCAUUGCUUAGUGUUAUGAGUUGUGUUAUUUAUGUACUACGUGCAUGCCAAAAGUCCACUACUUGAUGCAUACUUUCAUAUGUCAUCAUUAUUUCUAGGCAUUCAGCGAGAAGUGUCAGCCAACAACUUAAACAAAGUAAAAACAAAGAAGGAAGAAAUUUCUUUGUAAGGAAAAAUGAAUCAUGGGAGUGGAUUAACAAAUACAAAUUUGAAAAUCAAAUUAAUAUAAUGCAACUAUCUGUAACAUAACUGAACACAAAAACUUCUAGUUUCUCUAGCCUUCUCAUUCCCCAUAUACUAAUAUAAUAAAAUAAAAAAAUAACAAAAAACAAAGUUUUCUAAGGAAUAGCGAAUUACUAGCAUUGCUAAGACAAUGAAAAUAACUAAAACAAAUAAUGAUGAAAUCUGCACACAAUUUACAUAAAAAUUGUGUAUAAUAUGCAAAAAUAAUUACUAUAUAACAGUGAAAUUGUUGCAAAAGUAAGUUUUCUAAAUAAAUAAUGAAUUAUUGGCAUCAAUAUUUGAUCCAUGACUUCCGUACUACUCAAAAAUAAAAUAAUAAAGUAUUCUAACAAAAUAAUAACUAAAACAAAAUCAAAAUAAUGAAGUUUUCUUCUAAAAAAAUAAUGAAUUAGUGGCAUUGGAAUUACCCUUUAAGAAAAAAAGUUACAUAAAAACUAAAACUAAGUCAAAAUAAUGAGGUUUUGUAAUGAAGAAAGAAUUAGUGCAAUUGGUAUUACCAUUUAAGAAGAAAGAAGAUGAAAAAAAAUCUAAAACGAAUAAUGACAAAAUGUGCACAUAAUUACAUAUUUUUUAAUAUGCAAGAGUAAGCAUAUAAUAGUGGAUUUUUUGCAAAAGAAAAAAGAAGUUUCCUAAGUAGUAAUGAAGUGGACGGGUAAAGUCUAAAGACAUGAAAUAACAAUCAUCAACAAUCGCACCUGUGAUAGAAGAAGAGUUCCCCUCAUGCAUGGUUGUGAUCACAUCCAUAUUAUCUGAAUUGAUCGCAAUUUUAUUGCAGCCAAUCGGGCAAGCUACAUUCAAACCAAGCAUCAAAGAAAUAGCCUCCGUUGUGAAUGCAUCAUAACACACAUCAACUCUUUCAUUUGCAGCUGUAAUAAACUUCCCAUCACUGUCUCUCAAAACAGCACCAACCGCAACUUGCAUCGAAUCAAGCGACUUACGUGUAGCUAAAGUGUACCUGGUUUUAUGUUAUGACCAUAUGUCGCAUGCCGGUAUCAUAGUCUCCGGGUUUGUACGUCUAUGUGAGCAAAAAAAAUAAUUCUUUCUCCACUUAUCGUGACAUCGAAUCUAAACAAUAAGACAAAUCAAUAGAUCAACCAUCUGUACAUCGAUGAGUGAUGUGCCAUGUGCUACCUCCACGGCCUCAACAUCACAAUCCUAACAUGGACAAUGGAUAGUACCGUUGCAAACAUGUAUGGCACAAACCAGUUUGAAGGUUGGGUAUUUUUUUAUCGGGUUGGGUGGACGAGGAAUGAUUGCAUGUGGUCAUUAUUAUUGUUUAACGGACUUUCCACUUCAAGUAAGGAUCUUGUUCCUUCUAGCAGUGGCGGAUCUAGGAUUUGACAAUGUGGAGGCAACAAUGAACAACAUUACAAUGGCUAGAAAAAAAUACACUACACUACACCAAAAAUUGUAUGAUGGACAAACAUUGCACUAGUGAAAAAAAUGCUAAAUCCGCCAAUGCCUUCCAGUAAACUCACUUCGGAGGGCUUCACUUUGCAAUUACAAUGUACUUGAACUCUUUCUAUCAAUGGCAAUAUACACAAAGUAUUUGCGUAUUUGUAAAAAAAAAAGCAUGAUCAUAAGGACAGGAAGUGAGUGAAAGGCAAGCCAUUUUCUAAGUAAGCACGUAAGCCAUUUGCUAAGUAUACACCCGUGCAAUGAUUUGUCUUGCACGUUGGCAACCAUUAUCUUGUUCAUUUUGUGGUCUCCACCAUCUACUACCACAUUUCGGGUUUAUAAGGGUCACGCGUAUCUCUAGGUCCAUGAUUUAACCAACGUAAUAUGAGUUUUAUAUCAUUGGAAACUUCAAAUGUUCUAUUUUCUAAUGGUAUAACUUUGUGUAUACAAUUUAAUUAUAUUGAUCAAAUUAGCAAUGUAGGGAUACACGUGGGCCUUUUAAACCGGAAGGGAGGCAGUAUUUAUCACAAGCCUUGAGACCAAGGAGCAAGAGAAUCUGGAAAAACAACCAAAAUUAAGAGCUAAUGUUAUACCAUAUGGAUUAUAUUUGCCACCAAAAAACACUGUUGUGGAUGAGCAGAACCCCACUUACCGCAGAUCAAGGAGUAAAAAAUGACAUCGCCUAUGUCGGUAGCAAAUAUGAUAUUCCUUUUUCAUCUAUAUGAAAAUACGUGACUUUACUGUUUGAAGAUUCGCCAUGUUGCCUUUUUUGUGCUUUAUUAUUUGCAUUUUAUUUUUUGUUAGGAUUUAUAGCAUAGUCUAAAUGAGAUCAUAGUCGGAAGUAUAUCGAACAGUGCAAAAAUAUUGGAAACAACUUGUAUUUGUAGAUCAAGUAAAUAUAGUUAAAACACAAAAGAUCAAGCUAAUCAUAUGUCACAUUAUAAUUAUAAGACACCAAACAACCGAAGAAGUCAUGAAUGGAGUACAAACACUGAAACCAUUAACGUGUUUUCAAUCCAAAACAGUGUUGCAUUUGCUAGAUUUACAGCAAAGACUCAUAAAUAGUUUAGAUAACACAUAUAUUAGAGUCCAACAGUAUGCUUCAUUCAGCAGUUCACAUGGGGAGGUAAGCAUUACAACAGUUACAUUUUUCUUUAUCCACCAGUAUCAAUGUCACUUACAUUUAAUAGUAUUGCCAGGACAAAAGCCAUAUGAAUUUUCUCUCAAUGACAACACCAAAAGUCAAAAUAAUAAAUUCAUGUGGAUUUUGCUUCGCAAAACAGCUCACUGCGAGGAGUCAAAAACACAUUUCAGUGUCCGCCAUUCCAUCAGAGCCUACAAGCAAUAGCUUGUCAGGAUAUGCUUCGAUGUGCCCAAACGCACUGGUGCCGGGAGGACACUCCAGCGCCGCCUCAAGGGUGCGAUGGUGCACGCCGUGGGAGUCCACAGAGUAGCCACCUUUGUGGUCGUGCCCGGCGAAGCAGGCCUUAACACAGUUGUACUGUCGAACAACAGCCAUCACCUCAUCAUAAUUCCACAUGAGGCAUACCGGGGACGCUGCUACAGGAUCCAAUGGGAGGUGACUGCACAAGACCACAUUCUGCCGACGCUCCGAUGCAUCCCGUAGGACAUCACUGAGCCAGGACAGCUGCUCCUUUCCAACCGCGCCAUUGAACAUCACGAACCGCUGGUCGACGCCCACCAGACCCUCGGGGCUGUUCUUGUCGGUGUUUGGGUUCUUUUCUUCAAGGAGCCUCAUUGCUGCUGCAGUCACUGGAUGAUCACGAGGCCAGCCAAGCGUGCUGAAGUCAUAAGCAUCCAGAACAACAAAUCUGUACUCAUGACACGGCGAGAAGUCAUAGUAAGCACGGUCAGAACCCGUUGGCAUCUUCAUCAAAGCCACUAGCUCGCUCCGAGGAAGAUUGUAGAGGCAAUGGUUGCCAAACAUGUGGUAGGUCGGGCCUUCGAACUUCUCAAACUCGCCGAGGACCUUCUGCACCGCCCACAACGACUUGUCCUUUGGGCAUUUCCCGUCGACGAUGUCACCGAAGUUGAUGGAGAACUCGACACCACCUUGCUUGUUCCACGCACUCACAGCGCUCUGGAGGACGUCGAUGCUGUGACGGUAGUAGCGCGGGAUGCCAGCGAAAGAGUGCCCGUCCGGGAUGUCGGCGUACUGGACAUCUGCAAUGACACCAAAGGUAAACAGGGGCUUGUGGGCAGAAGCAUGGAAUAGCCCGUUCGUUGCCGCCAUCAUUGAACUUUGGUGUCACCAGACCUUCGAAAACCUCCCUUCUUCUUGUUGUCUGCGAGGAACCGAACCUACAUACAAGCAGUGAAAAGAUCUCUGCGCAAGAACCUACAAGAGAAGCCAAGCAAUAUUUGUUCAGGACUCUGUAUCGGUGAGGGGAAUAUUACAGAGUACAGAGCACUCUGUUUAUCAGAGCAAAAUGUAAAGCAGAUAGCAGGCUGGAUAGCAGUAGCAUAGCAGUAAAAGUUCCAAGUUAUUCUUGUUCCAAGAUUAUAGUCUACAGUUUCAAUUUCCCUUUUCAAUCAUUUCCACUGACUAUAGAUGAGACCAGCUCCAAAUACUGAAUGAACACUGCAGCAUUGCACACUAGUGUGCAUCUCAUGCAAUUUCCCAUUGUCAAGCACCGGGAGCUAAACCCUGGCCUGAAUUGCUGAUAAAAUCACUUAGGCGACCCGCCGUAGCCGAAACUAGCGAUUCGCACGGAAGGGAAUACGCAGCCGAGCUGUAUGUGAUAGGAGCCUACGGACUGUGACGACCACAGAAGGAAGGAGGCAGGGGAGGAUGGAUUACCGGCGCAGCGAGGGAGUCGGGGCCUCGAGGGUAGCCGGACUCGGGAGCUGGUUUGGUUGCUCCCGGAUCGGAGGGCGGACGGCGGAGAGUCGGAGCCUGGAUGGGGAGGGGAAGGGGCGGAGUUAGGAUCUUGACGAAAGCUUCUCUGCUCGUCUCCGUCGGUUGGGGAGAGACGAGACGGACCACACGGGCGUCCCUAUGUCUCGCGAGGCCACAGGCUCUUUUUCUGUUUUUUCUCUGUUCUACUAGUUUUUUGCUUUAUUUUUGUACUUUUAUUUACACUUUAAAAUAUUAUAAAUAUAUACUAUAUUGCAAGAAACAAAAAAGGCAGCCCAGUGUAUGUAGCUCCUGCUUGCACAGGGUCCGAGAAAGGGUCCGACCACUUGACUUGAACCCGUGACCUCAUGAUCACAAGGCAGUAGCUUUACCACUACGGCAAAGCUCCCUUUCAUAUUGCAAAAACACUCUAUAAAAAAAUAUUUGAAAAAUGUUGAACAAGUAUUUAAAAAAUGUUGAAUGAGUAUUUGAAAAAUGUUGAAUAUGUAUUUGAAAUUUUUGAAAAAGUAUUUGGAAAAUGUCGUACAAGCAUUCAGACAAUGUUGAACGUGUAUAGAAAAAUGGACGCGUCUAGUGGGCGGCCGGUUGCCCACUAGUGCGAUCGAGCGGCCGGCGAAAAAAGGUAAACCCCUGUCCCCCGCGGUACAGAAAAGGAAGGGGACAUGCGGCCACCAAACCAAGCAGAUCGAGCGCCCAAACCCCAACAGAAUCGCUCCCCCCCCUCACGUGGCCAGCUGUCCCCAGCUAGCACCGCCCUUUUUCCUCCUUCUGUAUAGCCGCCAUGGCAAUCCAAGAGUAGAAGAAACUACUUCAAGAGCCAUAUCAACGGUAGAAGAGGGUCCAAGGCCCUUCUCCACGCCAGAAGGGAUCCAAGGGCCUUCUUCCUCCUCCUGAUCAGGCAAGUAAAUCCCCUUUGCCCCUCUUCCUCCUCCUGUAGUGCAUCUGUAAACCCCCUUAUCCAUGGAUCUAUCAGCAAAUCCAUGGAGGAGCUGGACAUGCAGAAGGACUGGAUCUGCCACAUCCCCCUAUUGUCAAACAUCACACCCCCACCCCCACGCCCCCACAAGUGCAUCUGCACACUAAACAUGGUUUGAGAUCAAGUUUAGUAGAAACUGAACAUGUUUUCUAAACUGUAGGUGUUCAGCUAGCCAACUAAGACAGAUUUUCUGGCCAACUAAAACAUGUUUCUAGCUAACUCAAUAAGCAAAAGUAGCCAAAAACUAAAAUGCAUUCUACCAAGUUGUAGUUAUGUUUACACACAUUGACUAUCCAAAGAGUAUGUGUAACUAAAAAUGCAUAUAUGUGCAACUGAACAUAGAUCUCAGCCAACUGAAUCAUGUGUUCUAGCAACUCAACAUGCAUGCUAGGCAGACUGAACAUGUAUCAUGAACAUAUAACCUGCUUUCUGAGUGAACACUUUAGAUAGGCUUUAGAAAAGCUGAAGUAUGUGCAAUAAAAAACAUGUUUUCUGGCCAACUAAACAUGCAUGUUGGCUAAACUGAAAAAUUAUAUCCUGGACAACUGAGACAUCUAUUCUAGGCAACUGAACACAUUGGCUGACCAACUGAACAUGCAUGUUGGCCAAACUGAAAAAAUGCAUCCUGACCAACUGAGAUAUCUAUUCUAGCCAACUGAACACAUUGACUGUCCAACUGAACAUGCAUGCUGGCCAACUUUAAAAAUGCAUCUUGGCCAACUGAGACAUCUAUUCUAGCCAAAACCAAAAAUCUGUAGUACGACAGCAAAAACACAAGAACUUUUAUCCAUAACUAAUGAAGCCACAAACCAUAUUAAAAUAGUCACGCAUAUAAUCUUGUCCCACACAUAUAUUCUGGUCCCACACCUAUUGCAAAACUAUAGUGUAAAAAUAUAUUCAAUAUACUAGAAGUAAAAACAGAAACGACUAUAAUCUGUCAUCCAAUUCUUCUUUCUUCUUUCACCUGAAUUUUCCAUCUCAAAUGUAGCAUCAAAUUAUGUCCAAAUUAUCUGCAGAAAAAUCUGAAUCAGCUCUUUGCCAAAUAGAAACCUGCGGAUCAUUGCAACAAACAGAGGGAAAAAGUCAGAAAACUCUGUAGUAAAAAGAAGACAUGUUCUUGCCAACUAUUUACUGCAAACUGUGCAACUAACAUAACUACUCUGUGCAAACAAAAAAAUGCAUAACUGUUAUAAUAAAGAUUUUGCUAUAGUCAUGUAACUUUUGCAACUAAGAUUGUCAUAAUGGUGUGCAAUUGCCUAUUUACUAAGUUUUUAGGUUGUCUGAAACACUCUUUCGUGGUUAACAACUGAUGACAUCACUUUAUUUUUUUAUGUGCAGGGACUGUGUGGCAGUAUCCAAAAAAAGGAAAAAAAUGCUUGAUAUCAAUGAGCUUCCUCAUGAUAUGGAUCAGCAGCAACCUAGCAUACCACAAGGAAAUUGGACAGAAAAUGGGUGAUCUGUUUACUACACGCAGACAAGUCGUGGUGUGAACCCUAUGGGCCAUGACAAUGUGGCAGGACAAUCAUCAACCCAUGAUGCCCCUGUAGUGGUGUCUUUGCGGUCAGAGAGUCAUACUUUUGAUGACACAGGAACCGCGGCAAAUGUUCCUGGUCCAACCAGGACUGAGCUAGGAGUUGGGGCUGUUGAUGGUGUUGGGCAAGGAGAAGAAGGAGAGGAUGAGGCUGGUUCUCAACCUAUGAAACCCUAUGUUGGCAUGAGGUUUGACAGCUCAAAUUGCUAAGGAACACUACAACAGCUACGCCCUACGGAUGGGUUUCUCUGUCAAGAUGAACUCCUCUAGGUGGACACCUCACACCAAUGUAUUGGUAAAACAGCAGUUUUGCUGCAACAAGUUCAAGAAGCCCAAAGUUGAUGAUGGAGGACUUGAGGCUCCUCUUGUCCUAGACCAUAUUCCAGAUCCAAACUUGUUGAAAGUGAUGAGGAAAUGGAAGAUGAACCUCCAAUCUUUGCUGAAGAGGAGGCUGGUCCUAGUAAGAAAAAGAAGAAACAGAAACGCGAGACAAUAAAAUAGACUCAGUGCAAGACAAAAAUGUUGGUGAAGCUGAUAGAUGGGCGAUGGAAGGUGACGCACUUUGUUCGUGACCAUAAUCAUCCGCUGGUGAACAAACCUUCGUUGUCCAAAUACUUGAGAUCCCACCAAGGCAUCUCACUUGAUGAAAAAGAGAUUUUGCGCAUCUUGUAUAACUGCAACUUGACUACAGGUGUGUUUCUAUAUCCCUUACAUAAUUAAGUUUCCCUCUAGACAGUCCAGUGUGCAAUUAUUAUGGUACUCCUAUGCAACUGAAAUGUCUUGAUUAUGCAACUGGUGUCCAACUUCCCAUGUUGUUUCUAUAUCACUUUGGUGUGUUAUGCAACUAGAUUACCUUCACUGUGCAACUACACAAUGUCAUGUAUGCAAAGCGCAAAGUGUUUUUAAAAAGGUGCAGCUAGGUGUCCGUUUCCUGCAAUUAUCUUCUGUGCCAACACAUGUCCUAUUACUGUGCAGCUGGAUGUGCGCAUUCGUGCGACUAAAAAAUGAUAUAUUGUGUUUUUGUAUUAUGCAGGAUGUAUGAUGCAUAUAAUGGCAGAGUUCUACGGAUCUGAGAUGAUGGUGCCAUUCGGACCAAACGCAAUAACAAAUCUGUGUACAAGUUUCCGUAGAGAUGACAUAAAGGAGGGUGACAUGAUUGAGAGAAUUGCGCACUUCAAAGAUAUAUAGAAAACCGCUCCAGACUUCUUCUAUAAGGUAAAAUAUGAUGAAGAGGACAGGGUUGUCAACAUAUUUUGGGUGGAUGGCUUAGCUCGAAAAGCGUAUGCUGAGGCGUACCACAAUUGCAUAUCGUUUGACACUACCUACAUGACCAACAUGUAUAAUAUGCCGUUCGCACCCUUCAUUGGAAUAAACCGACAUGGCCAAUCUUUCAUGCUCGGUUUCGCGUUUGUGAGGCAGGAGUUGGCAUUGAUCUUUGAUUGGGUCUUCCAAGCAUUCCUAGAGGCUAUGGGUGGCAAACCUCCUGACAACUUCAUAACCGAUCAGGAUGGUGCAGUGAGGCAGUCAAUAAAGAACAUCUUUCCAACCAUCGUGCAUCGCUGUUAUUGAUGGCACAUCAUGAAGAAGGCACAGGAAAAGGUUGGUUGGUUGUGCCGGAAUCCAGGGCUCUCUAAUGAUUUCAACUACUGUGUUGACUUCAGCUUCACUCCAGAUGAGUUUGAACAGAAUUGGGCUGGGUUAAUGAUGAAGUACGAGGCUAUGACACACACACACACACUUUGAGAAGUUGUAUGAAUACAGGUCAACUUGGGUGCCAUGCUAAUUCAAACACAGGUUCUUCCCCUUCCUACAGUCUACAUAGUGUAGUGAGGGAUUCAAUGCCGUCCUAAAAAGAUAUGUGAACCCACACAACUCGAUGCUGAACUUCGUCAAGCAAUAUGAAAAAAUUCAGAACCACAUCCUUGCCAAGGAAGGCUACAAUGAUUACAGGACACAACACCUUGAGAUUGAGCUGUGGUUCAAAUUCCCAAUAGAGAAGCAAGCUUACGAAACCUACACUAGGGACCUUACCACAAGUUCAGAGAAGAGUUUGAGCUGAUUGGACAUUAUAAUGCGUUCCAAGUUGGUGCUGAUAUUUUUGAGCUCAGACCGAAUCAGGAAUUUGUUGCCAAAUAUGGUUCUCGAAACUACUUGGUGCAAGAUAGGGUGGAGGAGGGUUCCUAUUUGUGUGAGUGUUGUAAAAUGGACAAGGACGACAUCCUUUGUUGCCACAUCUUCAAGGUGUUCACUCAUAUUGGAGUUGAUGUCAUAUCGGAAAGGUACCUGCUAAGACGGUGGAUACCUACCGUUGUACCUAGUGCGCUAGGGACUGGGUAUGAGCAACCGGAUGAAAUGCCUCCUCAAUCAAAGAAGCAGAUAAGGGACAGGAACAUGAUAUACAAUUUUCGGAAACUAGCAAAGUUUUCUAGUGGCUCUGAUGCAACACAAGCUAUUGUAUACAAGCAUAUGCGCGGAGCACGUACCGAGAUCGGCCACCUGAACAAGUCCAAGAAAAAGAAAAAACCGGCUGCCGCUACAGUGCCAUCAGAUGAUGGCAACCUGCUACAUCUUGAGCUUGUGUUGGUUUUCCUUGAAGAGGAAAGGGUGAUGCAACAAAGUAGCGUAAGUAUUUCCCUCAGUUUUUGAGAACCAAGGUAUCAACUCAGUAGGAGGCUUCUGAACAAGUCCCACGAACCUACACAAACAAACAAAGAACUCGCAACCAACGCGACAAAGGGGUUGUCAAUCCCUUCACAGCCACUUGCGAAAGUGAGAUCUGAUAGAGAUAAUAUGAUAAGAUAAAUAUAUUUUUGGUAUUUUAUAAUAUAGAUGCAGAAAAUAAAGAUGCAAAUAAAAGUAGAUUGAAAGCAAAUAUGAUAAGAGAUAGACCCGGGGGCCAUAGGUUUCAUUAGUGGCUUCUCUCAAGAGCAUAAAUAUUACGGUGGGUGAACAAAUUACUGUCGAGCAAUUGAUAGAAAAGCGAAUAAUUAUGAUGUUAUCUAGGCAUGAUCAUGUAUAUAGGCAUCAUGUCCGCAACAAGUAGACCGACUCCUGCCUGCAUCUACUACUAUUACUCCACACAUCAACCGCUAUCCAGCAUGCAUCUAGAGUAUUAAGUUCAUAAGAACAGAGUAACGCAUUAAGAAAGAUGACAUGAUGUAGAGGGAUAAACUCAAGCCAUAUGAUAUAAACCCCAUAUUUUUAUCCUCGAUGGCAACAAUACAAUACGUGUCAUGCAACCCUUUCUGUCACUGGGUAAGAACACCGCAAGGUUGAACCCAAAGCUAAGCACUUCUCCUAUGGAAAGAAAGAUCAAUCUAGUAGGCCAAACCAAACUGAUAAUUCGAAGAGACUUGCAAAGAUAACUCAAUCAUAUAAAAGAAUUCAGAGAAGAUUCAACUAUUAUCCAAAGAUAAACUUGAUCAUAAACCCACAAUUCAUCGGAUCUCGACAAACACACCGCAAAAAGAGAUUACAUCGAAUAGAUCUCCACAAGAGAGGGGGAGAACAUUGUAUUGAGAUCCAAAAAGAGAGAAGAAGCCAACUAGCUAAUAACUAUGGACCCGAAGGUCUAUGGUAAACUACUCACAACUCAUCGGAGGGGCUAUGGUGUUGAUGUAGAAGCCCUCCGUGGUGGAUUCCCCCUCCGGCAGAAUGCCGGCGACGGCUCCAAGAUGGGAUCUCGCGGAUACAGAAGGUUACGAUGGUGGAAAUUGUGUUUCGGUUGCUCCCUGGAUGUUUUCGGGGUAUGUAGGCUUAUAUAGGAGGAAGAAGUACGUCGGUGGCCGCCCGAGGGGCCCACGAGACAGGGGCAUGCCCUAUAGGGGGGGGGCCCUACCCUCUCAUGGUCGCCUCGGCUGCUUCUUGACUUGCACUCCCAAGUCCUCUGGAUCACGUUCAUUCCAAAAAUCACGCUUCCGAAGGUUUUAUUCCGUUUGGACUUCGUUUGAUAUUCCUUUUCUUCAAAAUACUGAAAUGGAAAAAAACAGCAAUACGGGCUGGACCUCCGGUUAGUAGGUUAGUCCCAAAAAUGAUAAUAAUGUAUAAAAUAAAGCCCAUAAACAUCCAAAAUAGGUAAUAUAAUAGCAUAGAACAACAAAAAUUUAUAGAUACAUUGGAGACGUAUCACAACCCUCGAGGACCUUCUCCACCUCCAGACCCUACACGGCAUGCUCCGCCACGUCCUCCCCCGCCUGGCCCAACAAGCAGUGGCACGCGUGCUCCUCCCAAUAGCCCUACUGGGAUUACUCAGGAGCCUCAUCAUCCAGGUAAUCGCCUGCCCUAACACCCCAUCUAACUAGGUGUGUAACUUCAGUUACACACUCAUGGUGCCCAGUUGCACAGAACAUGCUACCCAGUUGCGUACGCUAUGUUAGUUCGAGCAUAAAGAUAAACAACUAACUUUUUUUUUCUGUUCUGGCUAUAGUUGAUGGCAACCCUCGAGGACCUCCUCCACCUCCAGGCCCUACACUGCAUGGUCCUCCACCUCCUCCCCCGCCUGGCCCAACAAGUAGUGCCCCGCAUGCUCCUCCCAAUGGCCCUAUAGGGAGUACUCAGGGGGCUCGUCAUCCAGGUGAUUACCUGCCCCAACUCCCCAAGCAAGUAGGUGUGUGAUUUCAGUUGCACACAUCAUGGUGCCCAGUUGCACAGAACAGGCUACCCAGUUGCGCGCGCUCUGUUGGUUCGAGCAUCAAGACAAACAACUAACUUGCUUUUUCCUGUUCUGGCUACAGGUGAUUACCAUCCAAGUGCCAUGACGGGCCGUGCUACUACAGGUUUUCUUUUAAACUUAAUUUUCACAUAGCAACCAGUUAGUUGCACAACAUAAGUUGUGUGGUUGCAGAGAACAUCAGUCCUGGUUGCGCAGAAAAAAAAACUAAACUCUUUAUAUGAUUAUUCCAUAGGUGAUCAAACACAACCUCGUGAUGGUCCUGCCCCGUUGGAGGCUGCAUCCCCAGCACAAGCCUAUGAUGAUUUUGUGCCUAGGGAUCCUCCAAAGUCUACUACAAAGGGUAGGGAGAAGAGUCGAUGAUACAAAUCGGUGCUAGAGCUACACGGAAAGAAGAAAAACAAAUGCAGCCACUGCCAAUCUACAGAGCACACUUCUGGUGUGUGUCCACUCAGACAGCUGUGAUUCUCUUGUAUCGUUUGUAUCAAAAAAGGGAAAAGGGAACAUAAUGAUGGUUUUUGAGCAAUUUAGGGGCCAAAGUGGACACAUUCAGCAUCUAUGCUUUCUCUUCUCUAAGUUGUUUUCCUUGAAUUAGUUAAUGCACUAUGUAAAAAUGGUUGUUAUUUGUGCCUUUGUUGACAAAUCGUUUAAUAUUUAGUUGUUGAACAAUUGUAUGCCCAGUUCUCCUAAUGUGUGAACAAAAGUGAUGACAAUGAGUUGCAACGGAAUUACUACUAAUAUGCAACUACAAAUCUUUCUAAAAAUUGUGCAAACUAGCAAGGCAUUGAAAAAAGGGCAAAUAAUAAAAAGAGUACUGACCUAGUCCUUUUCGUAUCUCAGCAACUUCCUCCAUGGGGCGGAGUUGUGCGUGCUGGUGACCCAAUCAUAUGUCAGCUUCUUCCUGAUGUUGAGUGUUUCCCUGGGCUCAUAGUUGGGCAGUAGGCUCCCGUUCCACUCAGUGGUGUUAAGUAGUGUGAACAGACCACACUCAUUGCUGCAAUGGGGAAAAAGAAAAUUUGUUGGAGGCUUUUAAAACCAAUAAGACAAUGUACUCUGUGGCACUGUGCAACUAAUUAUAUGUCACUGUGCAACUACUUAUGUGGCACUGUGCAACUAAUUAUGUGGCACUGUGCAACUACUGAUGUUCAACUGUGCAACUGGCUAGAUGAUCCAUGAGAAAGUCAUAAAAAUGAAAAACAGAUUGCAAACUAGUUGUGUGUCUUAAAAAAACUAAAGAUUGUACAUGUAGGAAAUUUUUAAGACUACAGAUUGAUUGAAAAAAAUAGAGAAGAAUGUAAUGCUUCUUAUCUUACUUGCCAAUCUGCUUCGGUACGUCGAUGUCAAUAACCUGGAAGUGCUCGAUGCUCUGCUUUGGGUAAUGCUUCCUCCAUAGUUGGAGUACUGCCCCGCGAUCGUAGAGGCAAUGUUCAUCAACUCUAUGUGUUCUAGCUUCCUGUUUGAAUCAAGGACUUCGAAACGUCCGUCCCUCAAGUUGAUGUUGAAGACCCAAUAAUGUCUGCCUCCUUCACGGUCGUUUACAUUAUCGCACUCAAGCACUGGCAGCAUGACCUGCACACGUGAAUGAUUCAGACACAGAUACACGUUGUAGGUAAGAAAAAAUACUACAAAAAUGAUGAAGUUGAAACAGGUUGGCAGAAGGUAGUUGCCAACUAAUAGAUAUGUCAUGUGCAAAUGAACAUGAUGUGAGUGCCAACUAAGAGAUGGAUCAUGUGGGCAUAGCACUGACCAAGUCUUUCUUGUCGAGACGGUUCUUGUAUUCAAACUUCUUGUUUAUCUCAUUCACAUUGUGGAGCCCUUGCUGUACGUUGAUCUGCAGAAAUUAUAAACAUGCCUCAACCUCCUUUCUAUAUGAAAAGACUCCCCGGUUGGUCAACAAAAGUGGUACAAAAAAAGGAAGAGGAUACAAAGCUUUUGAAAAAUCUUACAAAAAUCCUCAGUGGCAUAACGACUUUCUUUGACCCUUCUGAUAAGUUAUCCAUGAUGUGUAUGAUUCCAGUCUCAAUAACAAUUUUUGAAAGACAUUGCUUUGGCUUCAUGGAAUAAACUAACUCCUUUAAAGAAAUGUAGAAAUUACCAUACCUGAUUAUCUCAGGGCUGCAAUUUUUUUUAAAGAAAUGAAAGACAAAGUUAGCUUGAAGGGUCACAGAAAGAAAGAAAUAUGCAUUAAAAAAACAAGAGUGUGCAACUAAAAGCACUGUUCUAUGCAACAUGCUCUGCUUGUUGUGCAACUAAGUGGGUGGUACUGUGCAACUGAAAAAGAUAUGUAUAUAGGUUGUGGGGUGUUGGUUUACUUGGUAUUAUCAUCAUUUGCUUCUGGGUGAUGCCUGACCCAAUACACGAUGGCAGCGUAAAGCUUGUUGACUGCCUCAUUGGAUUUGAAGGUCUUAUUUUUGUUGUAAUCAGUGAAUGAAGACCUUUGAGAUGCUCCGGGCCUUAUUUCCCUCCUCUGUCUUCGUGCAAUAGGUGGUCCUGAAGAACUGCUCGUGCCAACUGCUGAUUCUUCGCAUAUCGGGGUGUGGCAGCUGUCUGGUGAUCCAACAUCUGGUUGAUGAGCUAAUCCCUUGCCAGCAUCAGCAGCAACGCAUCCUCUGUUCACAGUUGCUGGGUGCAACUCAUCCUCAUCUAUGACAACCACGUUGGCUUCCCCUGUUUGUGCUACUGGAGCAAGUGCUCCAGCAGGCCCAACAUCAUCAUCUAUGCCCAGGUCAAAGGUUGGUGCAUCGCAGUACCCGUCACCAUGAUAGCUGUAAGAAUUUGAUCUGCGCAUGGGUUGAAGGCCAGGGGCAUCUCCUUUCGGCACAUUCACAGGUGCAUCGUUCGCUGACCUGGUUCACAGUAAUGUUGUGGUUGGCGGCCUGGGAGGCUUGCACCUGCUUACAAUGUUGAACACCUCCUCUUAUGUUAAUGUGUGCUGAAAAUCAGCUCUUGGUGAUGAACGCUUGCUUGGAUGCUCUGUGAUAGCUCUUGGAGAUGGCUGGCAGGUUGAUGACCUCCUUCCAUGUUUGGCAUUGAAGAAUCUCUAUGAGUUGUCACCUUGGGGCUUGCGGUUGCAGUUGUGUCUUCCUGAGCAACAGCGAUAGUUUUGACUGUGACCCGCGUGCUAAUUGACACUUCAGUUGGUACACUAGUAUCUGUAGUUGGCAUCUUUGCAGCCUGAGUUGGCAGCAAACUAGCAGAACUUGGCAUUCCUGCAUUAAUGGUUGUGGCACGUUGUUCUGUCUCAUGUCUGGACCCCACACCUUUUCUGUCCUGUUCCGCAUUUGUGCCCUUGGCAAACUUGACAAUCUUUUGCUGCUUAGAUGAUUUAGGUGGGGUUAUUGAUAGAGAAAUCUUCCCCUUGAUCUGUUGAACUUCUAUGAUGGUUGUAGGCUCAACAGGAAUUGCUGACACAUCUUGAGUGGUGGUUGGCUCUCUAAUCACUAUAGUUGGCACAACAGUUUGCGCCACAACUUCCUUCUCUACAUUUAUUUCUACAUCUGCCCUCGGCAUCUGUUGCUUGGUUUGAGGCAACUUUAGAUUCUUCUUCAUUAUAACUCAUUUGCUCUUCUGGACCACAUGAGGGUUUGCCAUACAUGCUGCCUUGCUCUUGCUGGAGUUGAUAUCUGAAAGCUGCUUCAAAUAUUUCUUGUAUUUAUCCUUCGAAUGAACUCAGUCAAGACCCUUCCUUGCUUCCUCCAUGUCAACUGGAUUCUUUUCAGCCUCACUCAAGAAGAACAGUUUCUGGUCAAUAGCAAAAUAUAUCUUGUCACAGAACUCUCGCUCAUGGAAGUCUGGCACAGGGAAAGUGGUUGGCAAAGCUGGAUUCAUGUUGCACAGCUUGAACAUAUCAAUGCUCCCCUGAGACUCUGCUUCAUCAUUUUUCUUUGACUUUGACAAAUUCUUCUCUUUCCAGCAAGUUUUGUCAAUCAAUAUCUGUAGUGUGCUCCUGCUGCUCAUUGAGUUGCUACUGCUGGCAGGGUUGGUAGAGCUCCUACUCACCUUGGUUGUGUUGCCGCCUGUACCACCAGAACCAGGGCCAUUGUCAUCGUCAUCAUCAUCGGAGUUGUCACUGCCUCCAUUGGAUCCCCUUUGAUCAUUAGGAUCAACAUCCUUGUCUUCUUCCUCGUCAUCUCCUCCCCCCUCACUGCCAUCAAUUGCUACAACUUUGUCUCCAUCUCCUUCUUUGGCCUCAUUUUCUUGUUCCUCCUCCUCUGCCUCACUAUCUUCUUCCUUUCCCUCCUCCUCUCCUUUGUCCUCUUUUUCUUUGUCCUCCUCCUCCUCUUCCUCCUCCUCCUCCUCCCCAUCUUCUUCUUUGUCCUCCUCCUCCUCUUCCUCCUCAUCCUCCUCCUCCUCAUCUUCUUCUUUGUCAUCCUCCUCUUUGUCCUCCUCCUCUGAUUCAUCCUCAUAUGUGUCCCCGUCAACUUCAACAUCUUGUGGUACUUCCAUUUCAUCAUCUUCUUCUGACUCCUCCUCAUCAAACUCUUCUUCUUCUUGUAUAGGUGAAACCCGUCUCUUCCUUUUUGGAGCACGGCGUGACGGAGCGGUUCCUUGAUGUCUGCUGUACAUAUGGAUCAGUAUUCGAUUCCUCAUCAUGAAUCUUGGCAAUUGCUUCAAUGAAGGUGCCAACCUGUUCAGUGCUGCCUUGCACAAGUCAUUGACCACUUUGGCAAUCUUUGCCCUUUUCUGCAUCAACAAAAAAAAUUGAGUACUCAUUCAAUUAGAAACAAUUAAAAAAACAAAAUGUCGGUAAAUGAUCGAAACUCCUUUAUGCAAAAGACUUACCUGUGGAUUGUAAGUGGUAAUUUGGAUGCAACGAAUGCUUGAGCUUGAAAGAGACCACCAAAUAGUGGUGUCUGCUCCGUGCCCCUAUACUCCUAUUUAAGCUGAUGUAAAAAGGAGAAAAAGAAAAGAACAAGGUUAUCAAAAUAGAUAUUGUGUUGAACGAAAACCAGAAUGUUAUAACCUGUGCAACUACAACAAAAUGUUGGGCAUACUGGAAUCUACAUGUAUGCAACUGCACAAACCAAAAAAACUGUGCACCCCAUAGGUCACCUAAAAAAAUGUUUCUGCCAACUGAUAUCACACAUCUUGCAACAAGAUAAGUAAAACUGUGCAACUUGAAACAUAUGACGUGUCAUAUAAAAAUGAACAUGUGUCCAGAUGCCAAACUAGAGCUACAAGCUGUGCAACUACAGGCAUUAUUGUGCCAACUAAUUACAAAUUUUGUGCAACUACCAAAAAGUGUCAAAAAGCUGAUCUCAAAAGCAUAUAUGCAGCUACCAAGGAAUUAAAACUGAGCAGAAAUGAAUAGAACAUAAAAAUAGCCACUGUUGAAAAAAACAAAAGGGAACUCACUUGUAAUUUGCUGAACACACCAGGAGAGAUUAAGUCCUUCUUGAUCACCUUGGCAAUUAGGUUACUGUCCCAUGCAUUCACUCGUAUCGUGCAGUUGCUUUCUGGGAUGUCAUGAAUGAGCGUGUCAAGGUAUAGGAUCUGCCGCAGAACCAAAAAAGGAAACCCAACUUCAGUUAUUAUGAGGGGUAUUUUCAUAAACUAUAACUGCACAAAAGGAAGAAAAACACAUGGAAGUGCUAGUUUUCACUCACCAUCAAGUUAUACAAGCAGCAACAAAUAGUUUGCUUCGCCUGGUCCAUGUUCCGGAAAGCUUCAUUAAUGUGUUCUGCUACAAAAAGGUAGAUGUUUGUGUUCUUAAGGUUUGGAUGAUCUAGCACGAGUCCGUAGCACUUUGGGCUUAGCCUCAGGGCCGUGGUUGGUGCUAGGAAAGUGCUGAAUGCAACCGUAAGCCAGGCCAUAAAGAAUGUGUCAUCCGUUCUUCCCGCCAUAUCCUUAAUCAUCUUGCACCAUGUAGUGAUCUGGGGAUGAGAAUCUCCACGUAUGUUGAAAGCCUCUCUGAAUCUCCUAGUUGCAUCCUUGUCAACUACAUAUCUGACUUUUUGACCCUUGUUAGGAAGAUCAAAUACCCUUUGAACACUGUCAGCAUCGACACGGAUCAUUCCCCUGCCUGGGAACACCAUUUCAGAGGUCUCUGGCUGGUAGGACUGCACCAGAAAUUUACUGAAGUCCCUUGGAAGUGUAUCUGAUAAGUUCAAGAGGCCCCCAAACAACCUUGAGACUAGCUCAGACUUCUGCGGCGGGGAUAGCGAGCUGUUGAACUUCGCAAACCGCCCUGGUGAUGCCCUUAUCCUGCCAGCUUGUGAUGGUCACUCCACAUCUUCCCGGGCAGCCACCUCAACUCCUUCACCGCUGGCCUGAUGUUGAAAAAAUAAAAAAAAUUAAACACAAGACAGAAAACUGGACUGAGAAAAAACUAGCAAUGAUCAUUUGGAUCAGUAUUGCUAAAAUUAUAUAAACAUAAAAUGGAUCAUGCCAACUAAUAUGAUGUUUUUGUGCAACUAAGAAAGCUCAUCAUGGCAACUGAAGACUACUAGUGUGCAACCUGCAAGAAAACUAAGAAAACAUACUAGACCUGACAACUACAAAAAGUUCUAGGGGAUGUGCAACGAUAAAGCAUGAUAUUGGAAAGAAGAUAACAACAACUAAAAAAAGGUUUGCAAGAAAUUGUUCAAUAGCUCAUAAACACACAAAAAAACCACAUACCUCAGCAUCUGCUACGGAAGAGGAGGCAACUCCUCCACCAACUGUUGCCUGCACAAAAAUGGUGACCAGUGAUGUCAGCUACAAAGAUGCCAACAUUUGUCAACUUCUGCGAAAACUAUAUUUACAUCAAGAUGACCAGUGUUGUCAACUACAAAAUGAUUAUUGAGCAACUAGAACAAAAUAGUGGUGCCAACGGCUGCAUAAUUUCAUCAGCGCCUAAAAAACCCGAGAAACAUUGAUAUUCAAGGAUUUACUUACCCUGGUAGAUGAUUUAGCUCGCCCUGCUGCUGCUGACGUUUAGUCCGCUUUACAACCCGAAACCGAUCAACAUCCUAAGAAAAUAAAAAAAACAUGGGCAUGGGAUUUUUUUUUAUUAUAUGACCCAAACAAAACCAAAAUAAGGUGCUUGUGUCAUCAGCAUGCCACUUACCUCAACUUCCUCUCCCUCAUGAACACUAGGCGCACGGCAUGGCUGGCAAUUAGCAACACGCUUAGUCCUCCGGCGAAGGGUCUGACUUCCAGAACCCUAAUUAAGCAACAAAAAAACAUGAAAAAAAGGACAUAAGCAUACAUGGAUAAGUUGAAAACAACUCAAAGACGCAAAAAAAAAGAGAAAAAUACAUCUCCUUCAUUGCCAUCCGCAUCUCCUCCUAUUAUAACUUUUUUUAGCCUGUGAGGGGAAUACAAGAAAAGAAAACAUAGUUAGAAGAUGCGCAAAUGAACUAGACAAAACAUAAAAGCUUGCUUUGAUCUACAGACCUCUACACAUAAGCAGAACACCCAGUGCAAAAAACUGUAAAACAUGAGGACAACCAACUACUACAGUGAUGCAGCCAAUUGGGCAGUCAACCUUGUGCAACUGGACAGCUUAUAAGCCAACUAGUUUCACUAAGGCAAGAAAUAACUAGGCAGAAAAAUAGUUAACUAAAGGCAGCCAGCUGGGUAUGAUAAUUUGUGCAACUGGGACAAACAAAAAGCCAACUAAUAUAGCCAACUGGAAUAUAUGUAUAAUUAGGUGCACCAGCACGGCACCUACAGGGGCAACUCGAACACGGAAGUAGAGCAACUUUUGCAACUCAAACAACAUAUAGACAACCUAGUACAAAAUUAGGAAGCAAACCUAAGCAUGAUAACCUAGCAGCCAACCUAGUACAAUGUAGAACAUGUGGACAACCAACUAGUAUAUGGAUGCAGCCAACUGAACAACAUAUAGACAGUCAACCUAGUGCAAAAUAGCAAACCAAGUAAGCAGGACAAGUAGUGCAAGUGUAGAACAUAUGGACAGCCAACUAGUAAAACUGAUGCAGCCAACUGAGCAGUCAACUUGUGCAACUGAACAGUGCAUAAGGACAGCCAACUAGCAUGUGAAUGAAGCCCGGAUAGAAUUUUGUGCAACUAAUAGAAAAUCUCUACCUAAAUCUCUACCAACUUGUGCAACUGAACAAUAUAUAGACAACCAACCUAGUACAAACAGGAAGCAAACUAAGCAUGACAACUAAUGCAAAGUGCAGAACAUAUGAACAGCCAACUAAAAAAGGGAUGCAACCAACUGGGUAGAAUUUUGUGCAACUAAACCAAAAACUAGUUCAAUCAGCCAUUGCAUCGCACACAUCUAGGACAUCAUCUACCAACAACAAAAACCGUAACAAGGACCAGAACAUGGUAUAUGGACGGUAUAUUGGGCGCACACGUACCUCAAACCGCAAAUUCCCAAGCACCACUUGGCCAUGACCAACAAAACACUCGGUAAUGAAUCCCCACCAUCACUACCCCUUACAACCGCACAAAAUCAAAGCAAGCACAGAAAGGGGCAGAAAAUGGACCCUAUGCAGCCCGCCAGAUCCGCCACUGUCAACCCGGCCACAGCCUCAUCCCCAGCGACGAGACAGAGAGGGGAAGGACAACAAAAGGCCUCUGCGGACGUCUGCGUCGACCGCAAAUUCCAACAACCACUCCACCGACACCAACACACCCUCCCACCAUGAAUCCCCACCACCACUUUCCCUUGCCGCCGCACAAAUCCAAGGACAUGAGAGUCCAACGGAAGCACACACAACACGUCUACACCAAAUCGACCAUACGAGGCAGUUGACGCCAUAGGAACCCUAGGAAUCCCAGCCCGCCAUUUCCGCCACCGACGGCCUCGAGACGACCUAGACCCCCGGCGAUGAGACAGAGAAAGGAGGGAUGCGGGAUGCACUGGGUACUUGCAACGCCGACGAGGGCCAACAAUGAAUCCCCCCGCGGUCCACUGGAGAUUUGGAGAGCAGCGGCGCGAAUCGCCCUGGAGCGAGAGCGAGGGCGGAGGAGAGGAGCGCAUAAUGGGAGGAACGGGAGAGAAAGGGGGGAGAAAGGGCGAGAACGACUCGUGUUUCAAAAACGGCCGCCCACAAUCUACGCCACGCCCGCUUACAUGUGGGUCCACGCUCGUCCCGGAUAAGGACAAACCGCCCAUGAUGCGCGGUUGCACGAAAUCGACCAGAGACACCUCGCACUCACGCGAUGCCGAUCGCGAGCGAUCGUGCGGUCGCGGGCCGGCCGCCCGUUCUCUCCAAUUAGUGCGUAUGCACUUUUAAGGUUUUAGGUAGAAAAAUUAUUGAUCAUAUAUUAAAAAAUGAUGAAAUUUUUUGAUCAUGCAUAUAAAAAAUGUUAAUCAAGCAUUUGAAAAAAAAUUGAACACAUAUUUAAAAAAUAUUAAUCAAACAUUCAAGAAAUGUCAAAUGUGCAUAGAAAAAAUAUUGACCAUGUGUUAAAAAAUGAUGAUUAAAUUUGAUCAUGUAUAUAAAAAUGUUAAUCACGCAUUUGAAAAAAAUGUUGAACAAGUGUUUAAUAAUGUUAAUCAAUAAUUUAGAAAAUUUUAAAUGUGUAUAUAAAGAAUAUUAAUAAUAUACUUAAAAAGUUAAUAUUUUUCUAUGAAAACUAGAAAAAAUGUUGACCAUGUAUUAAAAAUUGUUAAUCUUGUAUUUGAAAAAUGUUAAAACUGUGUUUAGAAAAACUUUAUAAUUUGUAUUGGAAAAAUAUUAAAACUUUGUAUAGAAAAAAUGUAUAAUUUGUAUUGAAAAAAUGUUAGACAUGUAUUAGAAAAUUGUUGUUGAUAUAUACGAAAAAUGUAGAAUAAUAACCAAAGAACAAAGAAAACCAAAAUAGAUACAAAGUAAAAAAAGAAAAUGAAAAAUGAGGAGAAAAUGCAAAAAAAGGAAAUACCGGAGAGGAAAAAAAAGAAACGAAUAAAACAAAUAAAAAUCAAAGAAAACCGGCUCGAAUAGCCUCAAGGAGGAUGCACCCCUAGUUCUAACAGCGAAGGGGACUUGGGCGGAGUGGUUAUCGCAGCGAGGGAUCUCCCUGGAGACCAGGGAUUGAUCCUGAUUUCACACCUUUCUUGUGCUCUUUUUAUGUAAUAUGUGCGCUUGAAUGGCUGGCCCAAUACAACGUGAGGGGGAAAAAAGCUUCAGCAAGAGAUGCUACUAUCUCGCUUAACGCGAGACAUAGCCCUCGCGACAGACCACCGCCGAUGAUCUGUCGUGAGCUCUAGGCCGAGGAGGCCUGUAAUGAAGCCCAGAGAUAGACACAGAGGCUGUUGAACUUGAGGCUCUAUUUCCAUCAAGGUGUUGGAUUUAGGCCUCACUUGCAUAAAGAGAACGACAUUGCUGUGCAAAUGACGUUCGCGGCAGAAAUGCGCACGAUCCUCUAAUCAAUGGGGAACAAGUGUUGCCCAACCGAAUCUGAUGGUUGCCGCAGCUUGUCGGCUGUAAAUCGGCCGCAAUUGUGUCGUCCGUAUAGCAGUCGUUGUAAAAGAAACUUCCCUGAUUAUAAAGUGUACAUGCAUUUUGAACACUAAUUUUGACCACUACUUUAACCAACAAACCACCAGCUAUAUGUCACAGUCAAACAAAAGGAAGUCAAACCAUGUUGGAUGGUUAAAAGGACAAUGAUAUCCCAGUCCUGGGAUUCAAAACCUAUAAUUGAAGCUGAUGCUCAUUCUGGAUUUAUUUCAGGCCUUCCGGCGACGAGAGUUCAGUGGAAUGAAGCGUUCCUGUCAACUACAAAGGCAUCGGUGGUGAUUUUCUCAAUCACAAGAUGACGUGCCCGUCAACUACAAAGGCAUCGGUGGUGAUUUUCUCAAUCACAUGAUGACGUGCCGGCUCGGUCUUUCGAAUUUGCUCAUAGAGGCAAGGUGUGCAUUCAUAGGGAGGAAUAUAUGCGCGUAUGUAUGAGUGUCUGUGUCUGUAAAGAUAAAGAUAUAUUCAAAGAUACAAAAAUAGAAACAUUACACGAUGUAGAUACGGGUGGGCUUUGGGCUUGGGUAUGUGAUUACUGUACCCGCCCCAUACCCUAUCCAUGCCAUCCUUAAUCCCCUAAAAAAUGCCAUCCUUAAUGGAGUACAAAUACUGAAACCACUUACAUGAAUUUUCCAUCCAAAAUAAUAUUGCAUUUGUUACAUUUUACAACAAAGACUCGUGAAUAAUAGAGCCUAACACUAUGCUCCAUUCAGCAGUGCCCAAAUAGUGAAGUAAGCAUUACAGCAGUUCCAUUAUUUAUUCCACCACUUUCAAUGUUAUUUACAUGUAAUCGUGUCGUCAGACAACAGGAAGUCACAUUAGUUUUCUCUCAAUGGCAGUACCAAACGUCAAAAUAAUGAAAUCAGAUGGAUUUUACUCUACAGCGCAGCUCGAUCCGAUGACCGAAAACACAUUUCAGUAUCAGCCAUUCCAUCAGAGCCUACAAGCAAUAGCUUGUCAGGAUAGGCUUCGAUACGCCCGAAUGCACUGGUGCCGGGAGGACACUCCAGCGCAGCCUCGAGGGUGCGAUGGUGCACGCCGUGGGAGUCCACUGAGUAGCCACCCUUGUGGUCGUGCCCGGCAAAGCAGGCCCUAACACAGUUGUAUCGUCGAACGAUAGACAUCACCUCAUCAUAGUUCCACAUAAGAGCUGCUGGGUACACUGCGCCAGGGUCCAUUGGGAGAUGACUGCAUAGGAUGACGUUCUGCCGGCGGUCCGAUGCAUCCUGGAGGACAUCGUUGAGCCAGGACAGCUGCUCCUUGCCAACUGCACCAUUGAACUUCACAAACCGCCUGUCGACGCCAAAAAGACCGUCAGGGCUGUUCUUGUCGGUGUUUGGGUUCUUUUCAUCGAGGAGCUUCAAUGCUGCUGCGGUUACAGGAUGAUCAUGAGGCCAGCCAAGUGCGCUGAAAUCAUAAGCAUCCAGAACAACAAAUCUGUACUCAGGACAUGGUGAGAAGUCAUAAUACGCGCGAUCAGAAUCCGUCGGCAUCUUCAACAAUGCCACCAGCUUGCUCCGAGGAAGGUUGUAGAGGCAAUGGUUGCCAAACAUGUGGUAGGUCGGGCCAUCGAACUUCUCAAACUCGUCAAUGACCUUCUGCAUUGCCCACAACGACUUGUCCUUUGGGCAGAACCCGUCGAUGGUGUCUCCAAAGUUGAUGGAGAAAUUGAUAUUGCCUUGCUCAUUCCAUGUGCUGACAGCUCUUUGAAGGACGCUGAUGCUGUGCCGGUAGUAGCGUGGGACGCCGAGGAACGAGCAGCCGUCUGGGAUAUCGGCGUACUGGACAUCAGCAAUGAUGCCAAAUGUGAACAAGGGCUUCUUGGCAGAUGCAUGGGCUAGUCCGUUUGCGGCAGCCAUCACGAGAACUUCAGCGUCACCAGUCCUUCGGAAUCCCUCUUUGCAGGGAAGGCAGAAUUAGAUUCUGGAAUAGAAACGCGUUGCCCCCGUGCUGGAACCUAUAAUAUGAGCCAAGCAUUAUUUGUUCAGAAUUUGGGGGAGGGGAUCACUAUAUAUCACUUUGUCACAUUAAUAAACAGUAUCAAGCAGCGUAGCACAAUGCAUAUCAACAUCGUAGCAGUAAAAGUCUCUGCGUAUAGAGCCCUGCUAUAGAGCCUAGAAUAUAAGCCAGGCAAUGUUUGUUCAGAGUUCCGGUGAGGGGGUUAGUAUAACUUAGUAUAAACUAUAAAGCAAAGGAGCGCAAUGCAUAUCAACAUCACAGCAGUAAAAGUCUCUGCUUAUGGAAUCGUUGUGUUCCAUAAAAAAAAAAGGGUAUCUCCUUAUUCUUCAAAUUUUGUAGUGUAAAGCGUCAUUUCACCCACCCUCAGACACUAGCUAGUGGAAAUGCUACGAUAUUUCUUGACUUAGGGCUUCAGGAGCUCCUGAGAUUUACACGACGCGCGGAGACGCAGCCGAGCUGCCUGUAAUCGAAGCCUACGAGCUGCAGUGCCGAGAAACAAAGCGACCAGACCAACAGAUUGCAGCGACCAAACGAUCACAGGAGGAAGGAAACAGGGGAGGAUGGAUUGAUUACCGGCGCAGCGACAGGGGCGGCGAGGUAGGCUGCGGCUGCCGCGAGCGGGGUGGGCGGACUCCGGCGGGAUCUCACGCGCGCUGGGUUGGUAGAUCCCGGAUCGGACGGUGGAGUCCAGAAGCAGCGAGCAGCCGGGAGGGGGGAGGAGUUUGGAUCUUAACGGAAGCCUCUGUCCUCCUCUCCUCCGCCUCUCCGGCUCGGGAGAGGCAAAGACGGGGGAACCGAGUCGGACCACCACCGGUCGUUAGCCCUGGGCCGAAGAGGCCCGUAACAGAGCCCAAAACUGCAAGGGGUUUAAUUUGAGGACUCGUUUUUUUAUCUCAAUUUAUUUAUUGUAAUUUAAAAUAAAAUUUUAUUUAUUUUCAGGAAAAAAUUAGAUAUAUAAAAUAAAAACAAGCACAUUUUUCUGAAUAUUUUGAUUCAUAGAUGCUUAAGUAGUUUCGAGAUGUCUAGCUUCCUCUGGUCUCAGUGCGACUCCUUUGAUCUUUUCUUGACACGCAUAACAGAUUUAGACGCAAUUAGAAUCACCUCUAAACAUACUCCCAUAUGGAUCCUUCUAGAGCGAAUUGUUUGCUCACCAAUUAUAAGUCCUGGCGCUCAUGAACAAAAGUUGACCACAAAAUAAUGAAUCAAAGAGUUGCGCCAACCAUCAAGGGUGAAAACAACAUCCGAGGAUAAUUCACAUAUUGACAUGUCAACUUUUAGAAUUUUCUAUUAGUUACAACAAAGGUAGACAAAUGCUACCCUGGAAACCUCUCUUUGGAUACUUUUUUCGUUAGUGCAUUCUCAAAUCUCUAUCAAGAUAUAUACAAGUCAUUAAAUUAAAUAGGAACAAGAUAAUACACUAUAAUGUAUCUAAAUAGGCACAAAUUAUUUUUUUAGAUGAAUGUGACUUUAUCAUUAUUUUGAUUUCUUUCAUAGAUUUAGAUGGGAUUCCGCCAACUAAAAUGUCUCAAAUUAUUCAUAGAAAGGUAACAAAAUUUCCAUGACAAAUAGAGCCAUGGUUCCACAUUUGAAUUUUUGAAUGACAAAAUUAAGUUUAAUAUUACAUGGCAUUGCAUUAUUAUGUCCAAUGAUAAAUAGUACUCCAUUUAAAAAUUUAUGCAAUGCUCGUAUCAUUGAAAAGUAAUUAUUUACAAUUUGGUGACGUGGUGAUAUGUAACAAGUAAGAAAACAUCUAUAAUGAGACAUUGGCUUUAUUUUUCUUCAUCAGUUAUUAUUUUAGGGAUGCCAACGCAAUGGAGAAAGGUAAAUGAAGAAUAGGGAUGGAAUGAUGUCAAAUAAUUUUUUGAUGUACUCAUAAAAGUCCGUCCGCUAUGUUUGAAUUCCAGCUACAAAUCGUCUAAGAUUUAUUGUGGGACAACAUGCAGAGAUAGAGGGCUACACCUUCUUCCCCAUUAAAAGCAUGACCUCAAUAAUGGCAAAAUGGAAAGGGCAAAAAAGAAAAAUGAUCUCAUCAUCAUCUUCCUAUCUUCUUUUGCUAAUUCGAUCUAGACUCUGUAAAUUCAUUUUAGAACAAAGGUCUCUUUGGAUUGAAGGGGUUUUGUAGGAAUUUUAGAGGAUUUAAAUCCUAGGGAAUUUUUCUUAUGGAACACUAUUGGACCAUAGGAUUGGUGUUAUCAAAUUCCUAUGAAAUCGAUUCCUACGCGCCCAUUCCAUAGAAAUUUCAACAUGAGCUCGGGGCCUCUUUGAUUCGUAGGUAUUUCAAAAUAUAGGACUAGGAGAAAUAUGAAUUGUAAUGGCACGCCCACUUGAAUCCUGUAAGAUUAUUAGUAAAUCACGGAAGUUUGGAAAAGAGUGUUUGAUGCAAAAAAAAAAAGGAAUAUAUAACGGGGUUUGAGUAGAUGAAAAUAUUCUUCCAUUGUAGAAUGCAAAGGAAUUGUUUGGAAUUUUUCGUGAUGGGCGAGUACUCGUCACUCUCGUGUUCAUCAUGAUUAGGAUGGCGUGCGAGUAAUCACCACGUGAUAAGGCCGGAGCGUAGCCUCGUAGGCCACGUACAUGAUGACGAACUGAUCCAUGAUAUGAUUAUUUGUUGUGAUCUGUGAUAUGAUCCAAAAAGUCUAUGAACGCGUCGAGCGAGUCAUGCGCUUCUAGAGAGUCCGGAGGCGUACGCGGCGACGCCGACUAGGCCAUGUGGCAUGCAUGCGAGCCUCUCAUUCUUCCCGGCUUUGUUUAUUGGCGGGAGGAUGGUCCCUCCAGCACAGUGAUGCCCAUACGUGCACGCAACACCUCCGCGUAGCGUCGGUGCAGGACCAUAUGAUAUGAACAUCAUCGCUAUAAAUAAACCGUUCAACCUGCAUACCAAUUCGCAGCAACUCGACGACAAUACAAUACAACACGAUACACCACCAGUUCAUCUUGUAGCACAUCGAUCGGAGUAAAGUGCGUGAAAAUCAAGGAUAAUGGACGCGACCAACAAGGCGACCGGGCACGGCGGCGCCACCGGCCCCGCGGGGAACCACGGCGGGGCUCCUGCCGGUGCUGGUGCCGGGGGCGUGCAGCAGCUCCAGGCGACGAGGGACGACCGCAAGACCGACGGUGGCCUGGGCCGUUCCGGCGGGCCCACGGGGAACCACGGCGGUGCUCCUGCCGUCGGCGCGGCCGCCGCCGGUGAGAAGAAGGGCGUCGUGGAAAAUAUCAAGGAGAAGCUUCCCGGCGCCGGCGGGCAGCAGUGAGAGCGUCGAGUCACUGAGCUACAUGUACCACACAGCCUCUGGCACUACGUGUAAAAAGCUCAGCCACGCUUUUACAAAUAAAUAACGAGCUGUGUAUGUAUGCAUGCAUGUACCGAUGUACUUGUCUUCCAUCGGAAUAAAAAUACUUGUGUUUUGUAAGAAUUUGAACGGGAAAUAUAUUUUCAUUGGCGUACAGGGUUGAUUUUCAUGUUUUUGCGUUUUCCCCCAAUGUUUCGGCUUCGACUAUGUGUCCUAUACAUAUAUGUUUACUCUCAAAAAAAAAAAGAGUCAUUCCCAGAGCUAGUAAAUAAAAUCCUACACAGAAACUGGGUUGACCUCCCAAUGAAUGCAUGAUUAGUUGCAGACUACUAUUUUCAUUACAUGACUUGAACUUAUAACAAAAACAAAAUAUAUUAAUGUUCACAGGUUUUUUUCUCCGUAG